GGAAAAAGAAAAAUUGCAGACAAAAUCUCAAUGAAUUUUAAGCCAAUUUGGCUAACAAAGACAUGCAACCAGCGCCUAAAAGAAGAGAAACAUUUGCUCCAAACUGAAGCCUUUUAUUGGUUUGCAUCUUUGGAUUCAUAAAAUCUGCAGCAAGAAGAUCCACCAAGGACAUGUAUAUUAGGAUUCCGGCUGCUGCUGCAUUGAAUAUUCCUUCAACAAUAAGAGCAGUGGGGCUAUUUUCGUCAUAAACACUUGAUAUUCCAAUGCCUAUUUUUACACUAAUUUGAUCAUUUUGUAAUAUAAAAAUUUGACAAUUGAAAAACAAAUCAACUUUUUUUUUCUUAAAAGAAACGAAUCUGUCAAAGGCAGCCAUCCAUGUUGUUCAAAGAAGAGGAAUUUUGCAGCAAGUUGGAAAGGAAAAGGAGCACACGGGUUUGACAUUUGAAAGAAGAAAAAAGAACGUAAAAAUAAUAUAGAAUUGCUGCAUAGUGCCAAAGCUUUCUCUAUAAAUAGAAACGAAGAGAAUGAGCAAAGGCAUUCCAUUCAGAGAGCAAUUUAGGGAGUUGAGAGAGAGUUCAAGAGCUUGCAUUUAUAAGCUCUUGUUACAAUGAUUGAGAGAGUUUGGGUGUAUUGGGAUUUUGGGUAGUGAGCUAAAAUACUACAAUACUUGUAACUCCUUUUCACUAGUAAAAUAUUUCCUUCUGUCUUCGCCCGUUGACAUAGGCUAAAAGCCGAACCACGUAAUUUCUUGUGUCCUCUAUUGUGCUUGUUCUUUAUUUUUCUUACAAUUUAAUCUUAGCUGCGUGUCUGCUUCACCCACCAAUUUUCUAACAGUGGUAUCAGAGCUAUUGGUUGUAUUUUUUGGAGUCAGAAACUGUUCACGUAAGGGGUAUUAUUCACGUAUACGGCACUAUACACGUAUACGAUACUAUUCACAUAUAUGGUACUGUUCACGUACAUGAUUUUGUUCGCAUAUACGGUACUGUUCACGUAUACGGUACUAUUCACGUGAAACGGUGGAAGCGAUCCAAGAAUUUUGCGGUGCAAAGCAGGGAAUAGUGGUGUGAGUAAAGCAACUGUGUGGUUUUGUACAUGUCUAGGAAAGUUCUGUCACAAAGGCGAUAAGAGCUUAAGGAGUCUGGGUUUUAAGUGGGACCAUUGUGACCCCUCCAGUCUUUCCUGGGAACUUUCCUGGUGUGCAUUCUCACACAUACUCACAACUAUUCAAGGUAGUACACUAGCUUGUGUGCGGUAUUUAUCAACAAAAUGGCGGCAAAGUAUGAAAUUGAGAAGUUUAACGGAAAUAAUUUUUCGUUGUAGAAAAUGAAGAUGAAAGCUGUAUUGAGGAAAAAUAAUUGUUUGGCAGCAAUUGGAGAAAGGCCCAUAGAGAUAACUGAUGACAAGUGGAACGAGGUAGACGGCAACGCCAUUUCUGAUCUACACUUGGCACUUGCGGAUGGAGUAUUAUCCAGUGUGGCAGAGAAAAAUACGGCGAAGGAAAUAUGGGAUACUCUCACAAAAUUGUACGAGGCCAAGUCACUACACAACAAAAUCUUCUUGAAGAGGAAACUCUAUACUCUUCGAAUGGCGGAAUCUACAAUAGUGACUGACCACAUCAACACCUUGAAGACUCUAUUUUCACAACUCAUAACGUUGGGUCAUAAUAUAGAGGAAAAUGAAUGUGCAGAGCUUCUACUUCAAAGUCUACCAGAUUCGUAUGAUCAACUCAUCAUCAACCUGACGAACAAUAAUCCAGCGGACAGUCUAGUUUUCGACGAUGUUGCAGCCUCCGUAUUAAAUGAGGAAAGCAUGCGGAAAAAUAAGGAAAACAGACAAGCAAGUUCGCAACAAGCGGAGGCGCUAUCGGUGACGAGAGGGAGAUCAACAGAACGUGGCCCCAGUGGGAGUCAAAAUCAUGGUAGAUCAAAAUCCAGAAGUAAGAAGAAUGUUAAAUGCUACAACUGUGGCAAGAAAGGGCACGUCAAGAAAGAGUGUUGGAGUAACCAGAAGAGAAGAUAGGGCAAAGAACUUGAGUCAUCAAAUGCUCAGGGGUGUGUAGCAAGUACCUCGGAUGAUGGCGAAAUUCUAUACAGUGAGGCAACAACUGUUUCAGAAGGCAGAAAACGACUUUCUGAUGUCUGGCUUAUAGACUCAGGAGCUACCUGGCACAUGACCUCUAGGAGAGAAUGGUUCCACACAUAUGAACCUAUCUUAGGAGAUCUGUAUAUAUGGGUAACGAUCAUGCCUUGGAGAUCGCUGGUAUUGGUAUUAUCAAAAUAAAAAUGUUUGAUCGUACAAUUCGCACAAUUGGUGAGGUACGACAUGUCAACGGCCUGAAGAAAAAUCUAUUGUCUUUGGGACAAAUAGACAAUCAUGGGUGCCAAACUCAUAUGGCGAAUGGAAUUAUGAAGAUCGUUAAAGGCGCGCUUGUAUUGAUGAAGGCAGAAAAGAUCGGUGCUAACCUAUUCAUGCUUAAAGGAGAAACACUACAGGAGGCUGAUGCGUGUGUCGCAUCAAAUGGAGAAGAGUCAACAAUGAUGUGGCAUCUCAAACUUGGCCACAUGUCAGAACAAGGUUUGAAGAUUCUCUCUGAGCGAAAAUUACUUCCGGGGCUCAAAUUGGUAAGUUUACCAUUUUGCGAGCAUUGUGUUACUAGUAAGCAGCAUAGAUUAAAAUUUAGUAGAUCUAUUGCUAGAAGUUUAUGCAUUCUAGACUUAAUUCAUUCUGAUGUUUGGGAAUCACCGGAUAUAUCCAUGGGAGGUGCAAAGUACAUGGUGACUUUCAUUGAUGAUUAUUCCAGAAGAUGUUGGGUGUAUCCAAUUAAGAAAAAGUCAGAUGUAUUUCCAGUGUUUAAAGAAUACAAAGCGCGGGUGGAACUUGAAUUUAGUAAAAAGAUCAAGUGCUUAAGGACGGAUAAUGGUGGAGAGUAUACAGACGGCGAGUUUCUUGCUUUCUGUAAGCAAGAAGGUAUUCAGAGGCAGUUCACGGUGGCAUACACUCCUCAACAAAACAGAGUGGCAGAGCGGAUGAACAGAACUCUUACAGAAAGAAUAAGAGCUAUGUUGAGGACUGCUGGUCUACCCAAUUCAUUCUGGGCAGAAGCAGCCAAAACUGCUUGUUAUAUAGUAAAUCGAUCGCCAUCUACAGCUAUUGGGCUAAAGACAGCAAUGGAGAUGUGGACUGGAAAGCCAACUGAUUAUUCCUACCUACAUGCAUUUGGAUGUCCUGUGUACGUGAUGUACAAUGCCCAAGAAAGAACAAAGUUAGAUGCAAAAUCUAGAAGAUGUAUCUUCUUGGGGUAUGCUGAUGGAGUAAAAGGGUAUCGUCUGUGGGACCCCACUGCCCACAAGAUCGUCAUCAGCAGAGAUGUUAUCUUUGUAGAAAAUCAACUGCAAAGGAGAGAUGAGGAUGAUGACACUACAAAAGAAAAGUCAGAGAUCGUGCUAGUAUAUGUGGAAAAUAAUCUAGAAGAUUCAGAUUCUUCUGAAGCAGCACUAGAGCAUGAGGAACAAGAACCAGUCGAGUCCGAGGCUCAAGAAGUUCGUCGGUCAACUCGUGAGAGACGACCACCAACAUGGCACUCGGAGUAUAUCACAGAGAUCAACGUUGCAUACUGUCUUCUAACAGAGGAUGAAGAGCCUUCAACUUUCCAUGAAGCUUUAGAAAGCUUAGAUAUUGCUUUGUGGAUGACAGCAAUGCAGGAAGAAAUUGAAGCUCUACACAAGAACAAGACAUGGGAACUUGUACCACUACCACGUGGAAGAAAAGCCAUUGGAAACAAAUGGGUCUAUAAGAUCAAGCGUGAUGACAAUGACCAAGUGGAGCGGUAUCGUGCAAGAUUGGUGGUGAAAGGAUAUGCUUAGAAAGAAGGUAUUGACUUCAACGAGAUAUUUUCGCCCGUGGUUCGACUCACAACAGUUAGAAUAGUCUUGGCAAUGUGUGCUACAUUUGACCUACAUCUAGAGCAGUUAGAUGUGAAAACUGCAUUUCUUCAUGGAGAACUUGAAGAAGAAAUAUAUAUGCUCCAACUAGAAGGUUUUGCAGAAACAGGAAAUGAGAACUUGGUUUGCAGGUUGAACAAAUCUCUUUACGGUCUUAAACAGGCGCCGAGGUGUUGGUAUAAGAGAUUUGAUUCAUUCAUCAUGAGCCUUGGAUACAACAGACUCAGUUCAGACCAUUGUACAUAUUACAAGAGGUUUGAAGAUAAUGAUUUCAUUAUUUUGCUAUUGUAUGUGGAUGACAUGUUGGUAGCAGGUCCCAACAAAGAUCGAAUCUAAGAAUUGAAGGCACAGUUGGCUAGGGAGUUUGAAAUGAAGGACUUGGGACCAGCAAACAAGAUUCUAGGGAUGCAAAUUCACCGAGACAGAAAUAACAGGAAGAUUUGGCUUUCGCAGAAGAAUUACUUGAAGAAAAUCUUGCGACGCUUCAACAUGCAAGAUUGUAAGCCAAUUUCUACCCCACUUCCUGUUAAUUUCAAAUUAUCCUCAAGUAUGUGUCCUAGUAAUGAAGUAGAGAGGAAGGAGAUGUCUCGAGUACCGUAUGCAUCAACAGUGGGAAGUUUAAUGUUCGCUAUGAUAUGUACAAGACCGGACAUUGCACAAGCAGUGGGAGCAGUCAGUCGAUAUAUGGCGAAUCCUGGUGGAGAGCAUUGGAUAGCUGUGAAGAGGGUUCUGAGAUACAUCAGAGGAACCUCAGAUGUUGCAUUAUGUUAUGGAGGAUCAGAGUUUACUGUCAGAGGCUAUGUAGAUUCAGAUUUUGCAGGAGACCUUGAUAAAAGGAAAUCCACUACUGGUUAUGUGUUUACACUUACGGGGGCAGCUGUAAGCUGGGUUUCGAAACUGCAGACCGUUGUGGCUUUAUCUACAACAGAAGCAGAGUACAUGGCAGCUACACAAGCUUGCAAGGAAGCUAUUUGGAUACAAAGGUUAUUGGAGGAGCUCGGGCACGGACAAGAGAAAAUUUCUGUAUUUUGUGAUAGUCAGAGUGCCUUGCACAUUGCAAGGAAUCCAGCCUUUCAUUCGAGGACAAAGCACAUAGGAGUCCAGUAUCACUUCGUUCGUGAAGUAGUGGAAGAUGGAAGUGUGGAUUUGCAGAAAAUCCAUACCAAAGAGAAUCUAGCAGAUGUUUUGACCAAGCCGAUUAAUACUGAUAAGUUUGUCUAGAGUAGAUCCUCUUGUGGCCUAGCAGAAACGUAGGCAACAUGUUUAUGGCGAAGCAGAAAGGAUGGUGUGGAGAUUGAUUGCUUCUCAAUCUAAUCUCCAAGUGGGAGAAAUGUCAAAGGCAGCCAUCUAGAUGGUUUAAAGCAGCCAUCUAGAUGGUCAGCAUCCAUGUUGUUCAAAGAAGAGGAAUUUUGCAGCAAGUUGGAAAGGAAAAGGAGCACACGGGUUUGACAUUUGAAAGAAGAAAAAAGAACGUAAAAAUAAUAUAGAAUUGCUGCAUAGUGCCAAAGCUUUCUCUAUAAAUAGAAACAAAGAGAAUGAGCAAAGGCAUUCCAUUCAGAGAGCAAUUUAGGGAGUUGAGAGAGAGUUCAAGAGCUUGCAUUUAUAAGCUCUUGUUACAGUGAUUGAGAGAGUUUGGGUGUAUUGGGGUUUUGGGUAGUGAGCUAAAAUACUACAAUACUUGUAACUCCUUUUCACUAGUAAAAUAUUUCCUUCUGUCUUCGCCCGUGGACAUAGGCUAAAAGCCGAACCACGUAAUUUCUUGUGUCCUCUAUUGUGCUUGUUCUUUAUUUUUCUUACAAUUUAAUCUUAGCUGCGUGUCUGCUUCACCCACCAAUUUCCUAAUAGAAUCAACUUUUAAAUUCAUUUUGAAGUUAAAAAAAAAAAAGUUGACAGUAAAAUACUAUUAACGUAAGGGGAUUUCAGUAAAUUUUAGAACAUGAGAGAUAAAUGACUAAUUUUACUAGACAAAGGGGGUUAAUUUUCUCCUAAAAAAAAUUAGGUAUUGGUUGAUGACUUUUAAAAAACAAACUACUCUUUAUUAUUAUUUUUUUUAAUUUUCUUUUUGUUCGACCAAAACUCGCAUGGUAUUGGGAUAUACCUAAAUUUGAUGUAAAAUUAGGGAUUAGUUAAAUGAAAUAAUUUAAACACUGCAUUAAAUCUGCCUUUGUCGAUGCUAUCUCACUGUCUUAAGGCCUAACUUCUUGAAAUUUUUUCUGAAAGAUACAACAGGAUCACUUAUCCACAAGCCUAGUCAGCAACUUAGACACUAUUUUCAGCAUUAGCAUUGACAUAAGAACAAAACGUACAAUUGAGCUUAUUAAAAAACAUUGCAGUUGAUUGGAUUGUUAAUAAGUAUGGCACCAUAUGGAUGAUAAAAUUAAGCAGGAAGAAAGAAAAAAUAAAUUUUAUUAUGCAAAAAAUAAACUACAAACUAGGCACAAUAAAUAAAUAAAAAUAAAUUUUAUUAUGCAACCCAGAAUUCUCCUUUGCUGUCUGCCUCAAUGUUGUCCUGAAAUUUUUGGAGCUGAGCAAAAGGUUGUGGAGGGCACAUAGCUCUAUGGUCAUGGAGCCAAAACCUCAGAACUCGCAUUGGGGUGGAUUCAGCCACUAAGAGGAACGUCUUGUCCUCGAUUAGGGCAACUCCAUUUGGAAAUGCCAAACCUCUGUACAUGAUUGUCACCUCAUUGCUGUGUGGAUCAUACUUCAAGUAACUUCCCGCUUCUGUCUCCGUUAUCGAUUACAGAAGAAUAUUGCCUACAAGAAUAGUAAUUCGGUGUAAGCAUUGUAAAAUAUUAAUCUGGAAUUGAUGAACAAGAAUUAAGAAAAGAAAAUAUCCUUCUUUGAAAAUACAUGCUACUGUCAGUAAAAUAAACGACUCCAGUACUAGGAUCGAUAUCCAAGGCAUAUACAUGCUACUGUCAAUAAAAAAAGAAAGAAAAAUAUAAAUAAAUUAUCAAAUAAAAAAAUAUAAAUAAAUGGCACGUAAUGUUUAUUUUUCAUUUAUAAUAAAGUUUAAUAUACAAAAUGACUGGUGAGGUACCACCAUACCAGGCGGUGCAUGGAAAGAUGGGGAAUUUGGGACUUCCAGUGCGGCGAGAGACUGAGCAUGAGGGUGCUGCAGCGGCUGGGCAUCACGUAUGAGGUAGCUACUUAAUGACCUGAUCAGUUGAGUUUUGGGGAAUUUGGAUUUUGGAUCAAUUAGUUAGGGAGUUGAGUGAGUUUUGUAACUUUAAGAAAAUAGAAUUUGACUGUAAUUACUAGUUAUAUCUUUUACGAUAAGUUUUAAUAAGAGUAAAUUUACAAUUAACUAUUAUUAUUAAAAAAAAAAACUAUUAGCCUCCUCUUACCUCCGCCCUUGGUACCUGCUAAAACCAAAUACCCAAAUUAUGAAAACGAAGAGCGAGACGAUAUGUUACUGGAUUGUUAUCAAAAUUUGAAGCUAGAACUUAGCAAUUGCCCAAAGAUAAAGAUUUGCUAAGAUUUUAGACCCACAGACUUUUUAGUACCAAUUUAUCUUCUUUCCUUUAAGAAUGAUGGUGAUUUGUAGAGCCAUGCCCUGUAUUCAAAAUAAACAAAUUUGAAGAAUAUAUCUGUUGAUUCCGGUAGGGCAGGAGUCUCAUGCACAAGUUUCUCAUCUAUUUUCUUACCAGAACAAAUUUCUAGUCAAAAUGAGGGUGUGAAAGGAAGAUAAAUAGACGAAAUUUGGCCCACCACUUCAUUCUUCCUAAAUGAAUAGCUUUUUACCCUAUUAAACGAGGAAAAAUGGAUUAGAUUCUCCCUUAAUUUGAUCUGAUUAGUGAUUACUAAAUAAAGACCACACACUUUAUUGUAGUGUGUUUCGUCAUUUAAUACAUUGCAGUUUGUAUGUGGCCCUAGUUUUAGAUCACUUAAUUGGAAAGGGACUUCCCUUUUUUUUUUUUGAUACAUUGGAGUCUAGUAAAACUAGGCUAAAACAGAACGGGAAAUAGAGGUUCCAUAUAUAUCAUUACAUAACUAAUAACCAAGACCCUCGGGGGGGUUUUCAAAGACAUGAAGUCUAAGGGGUAAGGAACCAGCAAGUUUCGCCAUGGAAUCUGCAGCAAAAUUGGCUUCCCGAUAUAUAUACUUUAUAGUAAUGAGCCAUUGUCUAUUUAUCAGUUCCUUUAUGGCAGUUAUAAAAGAAAAAAUGUGCAUUAGGCAUCAAGCUAGUAGAGGAAAUAAGUUGGGAAACACAUUGACUAUCCACCUCUGCAAUUAAAUAACGAAUGCCACGAUCCCAAGCAAUAUUAAGUCCUUGAAAAAGACCCCAAAGUUCUGCAGUAGUCACCGAUCCAAAUCCAAUGUUCAUGCCAAAGCCAAACUGCCACUUUCCAGAGCAAUCCCUCACCAAGCCCCCAGCGCUGGCUGGACCAUUCUUUAAUCGUGAUCCAUCAGUAUUUAAUUUGAAAAAAGAUUCAGGGGGAGCUUGCCAUCUAACAUCUUUGAUGAUCUUAUUACUCUGACCGAAACUAAGAGUUGAUCGUGCAUUUUGAAUGUCCUAAGCCCAAGAUUUAAUUUCAGCAACAACAUGAGUGCAGCAAGGGGAUUUUUGUGAGAAAAGAAAUUGAUUACGCCAAAACCAAAUUUUCCAGAUAGCCACUCUAAAUUAAUUACGCCAAAACAACAUGAGUGCAGCAAGGGGAUUUUUGUGAGAAAAGAAAUUGAUUACGCCAAAACCAAAUUUUCCAGAUAGCCGCUCCAAAUAAACAUGCCCAUUCAUCCCCCACUUCAUUGAUACCAGUCUUUCCCAAGUUGAAACAGAGCCAAUCACGAAUAUUAAAGGAGAAAAAAUGAUGUCUGAAGUUGACCGGAAUUAAACAAUUCCAUAUUCUCUUUGCAACAAAACAGUCCCUAAGUGCAUGCAUCGCGUUUUCUCUCUCAUGGCCACAUCUUUCACAAUUCAUUUUAUCCAGAAUAUGCCUCUUAAAAAGCUCCUCUCUAGUUUUAAUUUUUCCAUGCAUCACCGACCAUAAAAAUUUUUUAACUCGUUGGGGCCCGGAAAGGGACUUCCUUAAUUAUUUUUCAAAAGCACAUCCUAUAAAACUCCAACAGAUGGAGUCCAAGUUCUAGAAUAGAUGAAUAAAUGAUGUCAAUUAAAUGGCAAUAGCCCACCAAAGAAGACAGAGAAACAAGUUAGGAGCGAUUGUAGAGUAUACCAAAAGUAUUACAUCUAAUUAAUAUAUAUAUAUAUAUAUAUAUAUAUAUAUAUAUAUAUAUGUUAUGUGUGUAUUUAUUUUAAAAAAUUAUUAUGUAAUUAAUAAUUAUAUUUAAUUGAACUAUACAUAUCAUAUAUGUAUUAGUUAUAUGUAGCACCUAUAUUAUACUUUAGAAUUUCUCACAAGAUAAUAUGUCAAUAUACCACAAACACAAAGUUUGAAUCCUGCGAAAUAUGUUUAAAAUUGACUCUUGUAGAAAUUAUUAUGUGGUGGUGAAAUGAUUAUGAUAAAUAAUAUAUUAACACAUGUCAAUAUAUAAUUAUGCUACAUCAAUGAGGGUACCAUUGGUUUCACAUUUUUAUUUUACGUCUUAACUUUUGUAUUGACAAUAUUAGUUUUGUAUUAUAUAUAUAUAUAUAUAUAACUACUAAGUUAUUUUUUGCAAUCAAUAAAUAUCUAAUAACUCAAUACUUUUAUAUUUAUGUUCAUAAAGUUUUUACUUUUUAAAUAAAUAUUAAAAUAUCUUUAAAAUAAUAAAUUAUAUUUUUUUAACACUAAUUAAAACAAAUUAUUUUCACAUUUAAUCUUGUUUUAGUUUAUAACAUGGACCAUUCGCUCACCACUUGGCAUAACUUUGUAACCUAGGUCUUGUUUGGAAUCGAAGUAUUAUACCUUUUAAGUUACAACUGCCGUAAAAAUUUUGUAAUUAUAAAACAAAAAAUUAAUAGCUGUGAACUUAAUGAUUGCUUACUAAACUUUAGGUAUUUAUUUAUUUAAUUAAUUGUCUAAAAUUUACUUGUUAAUGUUAUUGACAAUACUUAUGUAUUGAUUAAAAAGAUGAAGUAAGGUAUUGAUCUUAUUGAUCAACAGAAAUAUUUUAUACUAGAUUGACAUAUUUGUGUAUUUAUUUUAACGUUAAAACUUUAAUUUCUCAUUUAUAUUGAUAAAAUUUAGAAAUGGGUAUUAUAUGUAGAGUUUUAAGCUCCUAUUAUAAAUUUAUAGUUUGACUUAUAUAAUUUAAUUUAUUUUUUGUGUUUUUAAAAGUAUUGUUUUAAUAUUUGUGAAGUAAAAACCCAUUGCAGGUUACGCGAGGAUUUAGUAAUUGUUAAAACCUACUGCAGGCGAAUUUUUUUUUAAAUAAAAAACCCAUAGCGAGUUAAGAAUUUACUGAUUUAAUUACUUUUUACAAGUGCAUGUUUGAUAAUGAUAAAAUCACUGCACUGAAAGAAAUUCUAUGAAAGAAUAUAAUUCUUGUUCUGUAUUUUUAAUGAAAUUUACAGAAUUAUUUAUACAAAUAAAGACAAAGUAGCCGUUGAAAGGCUUAAUAAUAUUAAAGGAGAAUAGGUGAAUACUUGCUAAACUAUUGGACAAUAUCUUUAUAAAAUAGGAAUGAAAUAUUCCUACAUGAUAUCGACAUUCAUGUGCAAAAAUCGUGCUGGAGAUAUUUCUUGACAAAUAACUUUGACGGGAGCAAGUCGUGUGGAGUGAUAAACCCGUUCUUGACUUGACCGUUAAUAACUUUCCUUUUGGUAAUCUUGGUCUGCUUGCUUAACAAGUGGUACCCAUAACCCAUCCAUACAGCUAGGCUAGCUAAACAACAUAAAUAAAUGUAUAACGAUUCUUAUAUAAAAAGCCACCACCCCAAGCCAAAAGAAAAAAAAAAUUGUGCUGAAUACAACAAUAUAAUUUCUUCAGUUUUUACUUGGAAACAAGAGAGAUGAAUACGAAGAAGCAGAAGCCAAAAGCUAUUGUAGUUGGAGGAAGCAUUGCUGGGGAAUCAUGCGCAAAAGCACUUAUUUCAGCAGACUGGGCUGUUGUUGUGAUUGAGAAAACUCGUGGACCCCCAACCCAAAACCCAACCGGUGCUGGCCUUGGACUCGAUCCAUUGGCUCAGAAAAUUGUUCAGUCAUGGCUCCAUGAACCUGAACUUCUUUACAACAACACUUUACCUGUCACCAUUACUGAGGUAUAUAAUAUAAUAUAUUUAAUUUCUUUUUUCCCAGUAGAAUCCAGUGAGGGGUUAUGGGAUGAGCCGCAUCUCCAAUUAAGACCACAUUGUCCCAGUAUAAUUGUGUCAAAGGGUCACAAUCAUAUAUAAGGUUAAGGAAAGGCUCCUUUGUUUCUUUUAUUACUCUUCAAACUCAGGAACCCAAAUCUUCUCUGCUUCUUGGUGCAUCUUCUUGAUCAUGUCACUGCUCACUUUCAUUGUAGCUGAAUCUCCCUGAAAUUAUUUAAUCAAUUUAUUAAAGCUAGCUCUGCUAACACGUAUGUAUAUAAAUGAUAAAAUGAAGCAAGUUAGGCAAUCACCUUGAGUUGAAGCUCAGGUUGAGAGAUAAACCAAAUCCAAUUGAGCCUCUUGUACAUAAGCUCAUCAAGGACGGUGUAAGUUCCCGAGGCCAAGUCCAUGUGCACGCCAUUCCCAAGCGUAGGAUAUGCCUUCCGGAUGCCUUGUAUGGUUUCUGAAUUCUCAUUUUCCGAAAAAUCAAAAACCCCCCUCCAAGCACAGUAACCCGUAUACCUGAAAAACAGAAAUGAAAAAUAAACCGUAAAUUUCAAGACAACAGAAAAUAUGAAAAUCUAAUAUAAUUUGUUCAGAAACCUGAGUUUAGAGUCUGGUAAAAAAGUCUGGCGAACUGAUGAGCGGCUCCCGUCAGCCGCAACCAGCAAAUCUCCAGCUAUGUCGAUGACCUCAUCAGUUUUAAGAUUCUUAGCUUUGACAGUGACAGUUGAUUUGUCGUGAGAAAUGCAGAAAGUGAGGUACAAGUGACCCCAAAAAAAUAUUUCCGGAGGCAGAGUAUUGUAUAUAAGACUAUGAAGAUCAGUCCAAUGUGCCUGUAAAUAGUUGAAAUUUUCGUCUCUAGCUAGUACCCGACAGAUGUUCUUUUCCCUAUCUACUGCCCGAUUCUGCACAAAAAGAAAAAUAAAAAAAGUCAACGCAAGAGCUCAAAUUAAAGUAGUUCUGUGUUAUAUAUACAUUACCUGAUCAAUGGUGAGAGGUAAGGUGAUGUUGUGAAGAAGAUCAGGUUGAUGGAGCCAUGACUUAACUAUUUUCUGGGACAAUGGAUGAAGUGCGAUUCCAGCGCCGGUUGGGUUUCCGGUUGGAGGUCCACGUGUCUUCUCGAUCACCACCACAUCCCAACCUGCUAAAAUAAGCGCUUUUGCGCAUGAUAUCCCUGCUAUGCUUCCUCCAACUAUUAUAGCUUUUGGCUUCCGCAUCCUCUCACUCAUGUCUCUCUCUUCCUCUCAAACACCAGUAUGUGUGACACAAAGGGACGCUCGCGCAAAGAUAUAUUUAUAUACCGGGGAAAACUUCCCAUUCUAAAUUCAUAAAUCAGGAUGAGCCGGCAAUCAUAUGAACAUUUUUUUAAAAUAAUUAUUUAAAAUUUUUUUUUAUACUAUUGUUAAUUUGACUCGGAUUUUAAUAAAAUUUAACAUCUCGAACCAAGUCACUACUCUAGAAAUUUUUUUUCAAUCAGAACUUAUAUGUUCCAAUUCAAGAACAAGGUUUAAUAAUGUAAUGACCGUGAAAACUAUUAGACCAUAUGGUUUAACAAUGUAAUGAUAUUAUAUUAUAAAAUCAUUUAAUAACUUUUUGAAUUUUAAUAAUAUUCAGGAUUCUAAACUAGAUCAAUACUAUACACACACAUAUACACAGGCGGUGCCAUGAAUUAUUUUUAACAGGCUCUAAGUUUAAAUAGUAAUUUAAUUUAAAAAAAUAAUUAACAAAUAACAUAUAUCAAAAUAAAAAAUUAUUAAAAUAUUUAAUUUAAUACACUUAUAACUGUUCUUAACUUGGUUUUAUAUGUUAAAACAUUAAAGAAUAAUCUCAUUAUCAAGACUACAAAAUAUGUCUUUUUCUAUGUAUAUAACAAAUCUAUCAUUCAACUAUUGUUCUCCCAUUUGAUUUCACAGAUGAUUUUUUAUAAAAUUUAUCGUUGAAAAUGACCUUUCUACUGUAUCUCUAGGAACUGGUAAAAUCAAUACUAAUGUCACCAAUAAAUAAACUAAUGAAUAUAAUUUACCGUUCUUAGUCUCACCGCAUUGUUAUUUUAUUAUUUAUUUGAAAACUGAUAAUAAAUUAUGAUUAAAUAUGUUCGCAGCAAUUACAAAGUCUUGAUACAAUGUUUCUAUCUCACAUGAUGACGUAACAUCAAUAUCGAUGAUCGCUAAUUAGGGAUUCCAUUAUCCUAUUUUCCCUCUCACAUGAUGAAUAAAUAAACAGUUUUAAAUAAAAUUCAAACUCUACAAACUCAAUAACAUGAUUACGUCUUAUUCUUUCUUAAUUGAAGUUGAUUUUUCAAGGAGGCAAUUUGUCCCGUCAUAUGCAGCCAAGUUAGAACCAAAAAAUGCUUAAUUCAAAUCUCACGGUCUUGAAGAAAUCUUUCUAGUGAAAAUAAAUUCUCAAGUCAGAUUUUUCAAUCUGGCGAUAUGAAAUUUGCCUAAUAAAUCUCUACAUUCAGACAUCACGUUUAUGAAACCCUUGCAUUCAGAAUAAAUUCUUGCAGUGUAUCAAAAAAAAAAAAAAUUCUUGCGGGUAAGGGGGAUCAAAUUCAAGAAUAAAGUUUGAUAAAAAUGAAUAAAAGGAAUAAUUUUGGUAAAAUUAAGUACCAAAAAUAAGAUUUAGCAUAUGUUUGUUGUGGUUUAUUUAAUAACUAAAAGUUUUUACAAGUUUUUUUCAAAAUAUUUACUGUUGUUUGGUAGUAUUUUGGAUAGAGAGCUUUUGAGAAUUAAAUAAAUUAUUUUGCAUCUACCAAUAAAAGUGUAAAUUAAAUAAGUUAUUUUGGGUUUUUGGGAACAAAAGUUGUAGAGCAUUUUUCAAGUGUUAAAUUAUCUAACAUACCUUUUAUUUAUUUUUCAUUUUUAUUCCAUUCUUUCCAUAAUAUGAUUUUAAAUAAAUUGAUCAAUUAAAGUAAUUUUAUAAUUUAAAUUUUUUAAUAAAAGUUCAUAUUGACAACCAAAUAAUUAAAAUAUUUUGGUAAAUCUCCACUUGUAACAACUUAAUUUUAUUAAAAGCUAGAGCAUAGAGUCAGUGACGACGCAGAAAUAUAAAAAGUUGAUUGAUAGAAGAAAUUAGGUUUCUAAAUAAUAAAAGUUUUGUUAGAAAAGUUUAAAUGAACAAAACUAGUGUUUUGAGCUCCUGUUAUAAUAAUCAUAAAUAUCACGAAUUUAUCAUAAUAAAAAAAUUUAAAAUAUCAUUUUAUAAUAAAAGGAAAAUUAUCAUUCGUAUACCCUAUAUUUGCUCUGUUAUAAAAAUUACUACAAUACUUUGAGGGUGUAUCAAUCGUCCACCCUAAGUUGACGAAAUGUAUCAACCGACCACCAAACCAUUAAUUUCCGUUUGAAAGUUAACGGAAUUACAGUGAAUUGACGAUUUUACCCUUGAAAAUUAUCACUUGUAUACCCUUAAAUUAUUUUUUUAUCACUUGUAUACCCUUAAAUUAUCACUUGUAUCAUAUGAAAAGACCAGAUUACCCUUCUGACGUUAUCAUAUUUAAACGGCAACUAACGAUUUGGUGGUCGGCUGAUACAUUUUGUCAACUUAAAGUGGACGAUUGAUACACCCUCAAAGUAUUGUAGUAUUUUUGAUAAUGGAGUAAACUAAGGGUAUACAAAUGAUAAUUUCCCAUAAUAAAAUCUCAUAAUCUAAAUAAAGAAACCAAAAUAAACAGCACCCAAAGCCAAUAUCUAAAAAAAAAAAGAUAAAAUCAUAAAAUUAAUAGGAAAAAUAGAAAAAUAACCUAAUGCUGAAAAAUGAUAAGGAAAGAAGUAAAACUUUUAAAUCGACCACGGGGCAGAACUAUGCAAGCUAUUAUGUUUGGUUUGUCUCGUUGCAGGCUUCGAAACAGUAUAUUAGAUACCUAAAACGGAUCCCUGUAACCUUAGUUAUGACCUCUAGAAAAUAAUCUGCUCAUCUUACGCAACAAUCCUACAUUAGCCAGCCUAGUUUGGGAUUGUGAUGACUGUUGAAAAUGUGAUUUAAAAAAAAAGUGUUAAAAUGAUGGGCAACUAAGCCACCAUCUUUGAAUUCAAAGACGGUGGGUGGCUAAGCCAGCCACCAUCAUUGAACAAGGAAAAUGGGUGGGUGCCGCCCAUGGAAAGAAGAAAAAGAGGAAGAAAAGGAAGCCAAAAUUUGGCUAUAAAUAGAGGGGUUCUCCCCGUCAUUUAGGUAUCCAAGUUUUGGCAAGAAAUUGAGAAAGAGAAAUAUUUUUAAGCACAUAGUUAUAUUGAAGGAGUAUUUGACUCCUCAAUAUGGGUAUUACGGGUUUGCUUUGUUAGGGAAUAUUUAUAAGAAUCAUGUAUUUGGGGCUUGGGUGAGAGAAAAUUAUUUAUGAGAAAGUGGUUGUAAAAAUUUUCACAUAGUGAAUUUUUUUCUCUGAUUGUCUUUUGACAACGGCCGUGGUUUUCCUCCGUAUUUGGAGUUUUCCACGUAAAUCUUGUGUUAUGUGAUUGAUGUAUUCUCCAUUUAAUUUUUCUGUUAAUUUGUUGCUUGACAAAUUGCUUGAAGUGAUCUUGGAGGACGCUCAAUUUCCUAACAAUGACUUGUGAAAUAAACCGCUUCUAUAAAGCGAAUGAAUAAUCUACUUAUUAAAAUAGUAGCUUGGUGUUUAGUAAAGUGUAUUGUUAUAGUGGCUUUGAGUUUGAAAAAAAAUUACAUGUGUUUGAUAGAUUUUAUUGCGAAUGUGAUGUUUUGUUAUAUAAUGACCGAAAUAAUCAUAAUUUAAUUUUUUUUUAUUUAUAGAUUAGGAUGCAUGAAAAAUAACAUGUAAUUGUUUCUUUGUUAAAACACUAAGGUUAUAAUAGGAACUGAAAAAAGGUGUGGUGUCUUAUUUGAUACCUAUUUAUAAAUAGCAACUGUACAUACUUUGAAAAGUUAUUGUAAAAAAAAAAGAAACUUAUGAAAUAAGUGGCUUUUAAAAAAUUUAUCUAACACUAUUUAUUACUAUAAGAGAGCUCUAUAUAUAUUAAAUUCUUUUAGGUAAAUUAAAUUUUGCCCCUUUGAUUUUGAGGUCUGGCUACAUCACCGAUUGAAGCUUGUGAUUUUUUUAUUUACUAGUGCAUGAAAUCUUUAAUUUUGUUAAUAUAUUAGUGGCAUCAAUGAAUUAUUCUCUCUUUCUCUCUAUAUAUAUAUGAGAAAGGUGAUCAGGUCUGCGACUAUAUAUCAAACUCCUAGAUUUUUUUAAUCUUAAUCUUCAAUGAAUUAUUACUAUAAGAGAACUGAUCACGUGCGUGGCUAUAUAUCAAACUCCGAAAUUUUUGGUAUUGUACGCAGUUAUGAUCUUAAUCUUUGGCUAAGGGUAUGAUUGGGAUUGCAUUAGCUUGGUAAAUAAUCCAUCCUCAUAUAAAUUCUCCAAUAAUUAACUUUGCAAAUAAUUUGAUUAGAUGUUUGGUAAAAUUGGAUUAUAAGGAAAUCAAUUAUUAAAUAAUUUACUUAACAUGUUUGUCGUAUUAAUCAAAAAAUUGUGUUGUGUGCAAAUUACCAAGAUGGACAAGUUUUCUUAUAUAGUAAUAUAUAAUGAUAAUUAUUACGAUUUAUUUAUAUUAAUAUAUCAAAUAUUAGUGGUGGUGACGCUAUUUGUUUGCCGUUUCAUGGCUGUAAUUAUUUUAGAGGUGUGCGUGAGCAACCGCCAUUUCUCUGUUGUUGACAUCAUACGUUUUGGAGUUUGAUAGCAGAGGUAUUGUCGCAUAAUGAAGACUUUAGCUAGAUGCAGACGACGGCGCCGAAGACAUUGCCGGACGCCAGCAAUAAUCUAGUUGUUUCCUUUUUUUUUUGUCUUAUUUAAAUGUAAACAUAAAUAUGUUAUUAGUGUAAGGGUGCAUUCGAAAUUGUAUUGUUAAAAUGAGGAAAAUUUUGGUAUUAUGCUUUACAAAAUCAAAUUCUAUAAAAACCCGAAUUUCCAAAUCUACUUUCUCAUGUUUUUAAUGAUUAGUACAAAGAUAAAUUAUUUAAAAAUUCUCUUUCUUAAUUGAAAUUAACUUUUCAAGGAGGCAAUAUGGACUUUGCGUCGUAGGUAAGUUAAAGGCCCUUAAUCCCACGAUGUUCAUGAUGAAACCUUUCUAUUCAAAAUAAAUUCUUCAGUUCGAUUUUUCAAGCUGGCGAGAUGGAAUAUUUGCUAAUACAUAAGUUUGGGAAACUCUGGAUUCAAAUCAUUCGGCUCAAUUUUUAAGAUCCAAUUAAGUGUUUUUUAUUAUAACAUAUGUGUGAUUAACAUUUAUUUUUGUAAUUUAAAGCCAACUAAACGAUGCGCUGUUAUUUCUGCAAAUUUGGGAGUGUCCCAGCCUUCACCUUCCUUGAGAAGCCUUCUUCUUCUUCAAACCUUACCUAUCGUAGGAUGCUUCCAGAGAUAUUUACUCCUCAAAUUGCAAUUGAAUUGAUUAUGGUGUUCAUCAUUCUCAAUGGACACAUAAUGGUUUUUUAACGGUUUCGUCGUGUAUUGAAUUUUACAAAGCUGGGAAUUGUAAUUAAAAUUGAACUUUAGAAAGUUGCAAAAGUGUAAUUGAAAUGUACAAGUCAAUUCUAACCACUCAUCUUUCUAAAUACCAUAUGUCGUUAGAUACUUAAUACACCUUGUGUGCUGGAAUGGAAUAGAUUUUUAGCAGAUACGAUUAGUUAAAUAAAAUUGGAUUGAAUCAUAUUUAGUAUUGUCUUUUGUUUGGCAUUUUAGAUUAUGGUAAUUUUAUAUAUUGUAUGAGAAUUGCGAUGUGAAUAUUUCCGCUGCAAAAUAUUUUAAAACCAAUAAUUGGUAUCAAGCGAUCUCAUAUUAAUAUAUAGAGUUACUGUAUGAAAUCAAACUCUUGUAUUAUGUGUAUAAAAUUGGUGGCACUAAUUUUUAUAUAUUAUUUCAUUACGUGAAUGUAUAUAAUUAUUGACCAUAUUAAAUGUUGUCUCAAUUCAUGGUUAGUUAUUUUUUUUAUAUUAAUUUUAUGGAUUUGUAACAAGAGAGGUGGUCAAUUUUCACCAUGUUUCUCUCUUGAUUAUUUUAAUUCAUUGUUCUUAGAUUCUUUGUAAGCCAUCUAUGGUAUAGGAGUUCUUGUAAAUAUUAAUUUUUAUUAUAUAAUAAUGUAAAGAACCCAAAAAAACAAAGAAAAGUUGAUGGCGGCAAGGAGAAGAAGAAACGACAGCCUCUCUAGAAUUGGCAGCGAACAGCAUGAAGGGACGGAGGGUUUCUUUUGAAUUUUUUCAUUAGACACUCUAUUGUCUCACUAAUUUAUGUUUUCUGGCAAGGCUUGAAAUUAUAUUUCAUUUAAGUCCAACACUAUACGUUGGUGGCGGCUGGAAGAAAAAUAAGUGAUUUAGGGUUUUGGGUUUAUACCCCAUGGCACCCUACAAUUUCACUAUUUUACAGUUCAGCCUAAGUAUUUUGGGUUUUGGGCAGAACAAAAAAAAAUUUAUUUAUAUUGGAUCCAAGCCCAUUAUUGACUAUGAAUUGGAAAAUAUAAAUAUAAAUUUGAUAAGCCCAAUUGUUAUUAUUUGUCCAGAUUUAUUUAUAUUGGUCCCAAGCCCAUUUAAGGGAUUUCAAAAUUGAGUUAUAUAAAUAAAAAUUUAGUAGAUCAAUAAUAAAAUUUAUUUGGCUCAAAAAUUUUUAAAGAUAAAUUUGGGUUUAUUUUAUUAAACUAAUUGGGUCUGGAUUUUUUUUUAAAAACAGGUAUUUAAAAAAAAUAAGAGCCAAUAGAAAUUUUUUUUUUGAAAGGUGCCCAAAUUUAAAUUUAAAAAUUGAACCAGAGAUAAAUUUUAAAAGCCUAAAAGCCCUCAAGGCAAUAGUUAUGUACAAGAGCAAGUACAAGAAAGAGAAAAAAGGAAGAUUGAUGUUGAGUUAAAGCCCAAUAGAUAUUAGGCUUGUAGAUUAAGUCAAUUUUUUCCUUAGGAAAACCAUGAAUUGAGAUUGUUUAAUUGCUUUUAAUUUAUAUGCUAUGUUUGGUUGAUAACAUGCUAUGAUAACAUGUCAUAUAGAAUAGGAAGUGUCACUCUAUGCAUAAUAAUACAUGACAUCUAUAGAUUAUGAAUCUAAAAAUAUAUUGUUUGACAUUUGCAUGUGCUUAAUAAUAUUAGAUUUCAUCUAGAUAAUAUUAUUGUAGGAAGCAUGCAAUUAAAAUACAGGAUAUAAUUUGUAUAUUGGAAAAACUAACUUUAAAAUAUUGAGUAGGAGAGGGAAAAUUCAAGAUAAUUUUUCCCACGAGCUCCAUUAUUAGUUCAAUAAUAAAAUUAUAUAUAUAUCUCGACUUCAUGAUACGGUGAUGCUCUCUACAAAGGGUAUAUAUAUUAGACAUUUUAUUUGAUGAACUUCUUUACAGAUAAGUUCGAAAUAUUUUUCAAUCUGUUGAUCACCCAAACUGUGGCGGCAUGGUAUGGAAGAUACGUAGAUUGAAACAAUGGUUAUACACUCCACUAAAAUUUGUUAUUAACCUUCCAAAUGAAGCUCUGUUAACAAAUUUAGGCCCAAAAGGAUAACGAUAAUUAUUUAUCAUGUCUCUACAUGAAAGUAAAUAAUCCAAUGGAUAAUUGGGUCUAGUAAGUGUAGACAUGACUUCCCCAAUGGAGAGCUUGCCAAAGCAGUACUAGAUUAUUAUUACAAUAAAAUAAAAUGCAUUUAUGGUUUUUUUUGCAUUUUAGAUUAUUAUUGUGAACAUUAUUUGUUUCAAAGUAUUUAUGCAUGUCUAUUUUGUUUUUUCAGAAAAUGUCUUCCAUCAACUCAUUAUUCAUUAUCCUUGUUAAAAAUGAACUCACUGGCGAAAUGUACUUAGAUUGAAAAUACAAUCUAUUUAAUAUUCUCACUGCUAAGGGCUGCAAAUAUGUGUUGACUCAGUCAUUCCCUCUAGAACCAACGUUAUACGAUUAUACACUACUAGAAAAAUGGGCUUUACUGACACUUCGUUACUGACACUUUGCAAAAAGUGUCAGUACUUAUGUACAUAUGCACCAUUUUCCGCUUUUGACAAAUAGGAAUCAGAGAUUAAUGAUACUAGGGUGUCAGUAAACUAAACAUCAAAAAUCACUAACACUAAAGUAUCAAUGAUAAAAAAAAUUCAUAAAAAUUUUGUUUUAGCUCCAACUCGAACCUGGGAGCUCUAAGAUUUAAAGCUUUAAUGUUUGGAGCACAGACCAUCAAAUCUCGAUGAGUCAAAGUCAUAAUAAUAUUUAAAUUAUUAAAAAAUGAAAAUAUAAAUAACAAUAACAUAAAACACACUUGUUCUCCCCAUCUAGACUAUAUCGACUGUCUCUAUCUUGCUUUCAUCAUUCACUUUCGCUUUCGUUUUUCUCUUCUCGAUCUCUUCUGUUUUGCACUAUCCAUUUACAAAUUAAAUUCAAUUAAUUUAGAUAGAUAAUGAAAACCUAAAACUCUGAUUCGUUUUUCCAUUUUCCCCAAAUUGAAACACAAACCAAAAACCUAAUCGCUUGUUAUCGAAGGGGUUUUUCUCCAACUUAACCAUCCAGUGCCUAUACUAGGCAAGCAAGUAAAAGCCAUCGACAAGGGGUGAAGUGGCACCAUCGGUUCGGUAUUCAGGUAAUCUCAUUCUCCCUGACAAGUUAAGUCCAAAGAAAGAACUGUAGAGGAGGUUAUCAGCUGGUAAUGGCAGAAUGUUUUAUUUUUUUGUGCAAUUUAAUUAUUGGGUUUGUUUUAAUUUGGCUUAUGAAUAAUAUUUUUGAAUUUUUAUUUUUGGGUUGUUUCAGAUAUUCAGAAAUUGAACAGUCGUGCAACCCUGGUGGGUUUUGUUUUCCAAAUGUUUUUAUUUAUUUAUUUAUUCGUAACUUGAAAUUUUUGUUCUUAUUUUUCUAUAUCUUCACUCACAUGCAGUCCAAAAAUACAGGCAUUUUAAGUGGUGCAUUACUUAAACUCAAAACACUUGCUGCUGCGACUCUGUUUUUUCUGCCACAUUUGAGGUCAGUUUCAAACUUUUGUUCAUGUGAUUUACUGUCAUUGUUAUUUAAAACUAAGAAUGUGCAUUUUUUUUAGUUUCUGAAAUAAACUGUUAGCUCAGUUUCUUAACUUUGAGCAAUAAGUUAGUUGAUUUUAAAUGUACUAAAAUAUGAAAUUUGAUUUUAGCUUUUGCCUUUGUGAUUAGGAGAUGAUUGUUUGGGUGUUAUAUUGGCUGAAUGACUGUGUAUUUAGUGGUUACAAACUAUUUACAUCUCUGUUUCAUGUAAAGAGAGGCAAAUUUUGUUAUAUAAUCCUACUUGUUUAUUUAUUCUGUUUUGGUUGGACGAUUUGUAAUAGAGACAAUGACUAUGAUAUGAAUUAAUUAAGUUCGUGGUUGUGAGUAUUUUGAGAUUGUAUAAAGUUGAUGAUUUGUGUUUGAUUCAAUAAAGAAAUGCUUGUUUUAAAGUAGUUCUGCAUGUUGUAUUUGAAGUUAAAAAAUGAUUUAUAGAAUCUUAAAAAAUGGCUUGCAAAGUGGUAUGAAGACAUUAUUUAUUUGAACUCUUAACUUUUGUUAGUUACUUGACUUAUGAAUUAGUUCGACUACUUAAAAAGCCAUUAGCACCCAUCUUACCUAUUAAUCUCCUAUUUAAGUUUCAAAACUUAUUUUGUUUCAAUUUCAGGAUUUUGUCUAAAUUAUUAUUAUAAUUAAUGAUUUAUAGGGCUAUUAAUGAUUUUCCAGAAUUAUAAGUUUAUUAUUACAACUAUAAUCAUAAUAACAUUGAACUUUAAAUUAAUCAUGCAAUUUAAUUAAACUUAAACUAACAUUACAUAUGUGAACAGGUAAAAUAUUUGAAAUGGACAGAAGUUGGAUAACUUGUGAUAGAUUGUCUGUAGAGUAUCGUUCUGGAGUUGCUGAUUUCUUAGAUUUUGCCAUUUUGAAUGCUGAAAAUCGAAUGUCAAUUAGAUGUCCUUGCACCUUUUGUUGUAAUAUGGAGUUUCAUACUCCUCAACAAGUGAAGGAUCAUUUAUUUGAAAAAGGUUUUCUCCCAAGAUAUAUUGUUUGGACUUGGCAUGGUGAGACUAACUCUAAAUCUACAUUUACAAACUGUGAAGACCAUUCACAUAGUCAAAGAUUUAGAUGUCAUGAUUACAGUAAUAUAAUUGACAUGGUCGAAGAUGCUUACGAGCAUUGUGAUAGAGAUCCUAGUUCUUUUAAGGAUAUGCUUGAAGAUGCUGAAAAGCCUUUGUACCCGGGUGCAAAACAUUCAAAGUUAUCUAGUUUAAUGAGACUUUACAAUGUGAAAGGGAACUAUGGGUGGUCCGAUAAAGGGUUUUCUGCUUUGUUAGAAGUCCUUGCUGAUAUUUUGCCAAAUAAUAAUACUCUACCUAUGUCAAUGUACGAGGUUAAGAAAACAAUGAAAGUGCUAGGCUUAGAGUAUGAAAAAAUACAUGCAUGUCCAAAUGACUGCAUUUUGUAUAGGAAUGAAUUUGCUGAUCUUGCUGAAUGCCCAAAUUGUGGAGCAUCUAGGUAUAAAAAAAAAAAAAGAUAGCUCAACAAAAUUUAGGAAAGGGGUUCCUAAAAAGGUAUUAUGGUAUUUUCCACCUAUUCCUAGGUUGAAAAGAUUGUUUCAAUCACCACAAACAGCUCAAAAUUUAACAUGGCAUGCUAAUAAAAGAAUUAGAGAUGGCAAACUUCGCCACCCAGCAGACUCACCAGCUUGGCAACUAAUUGACAAUAAGUGGCCAAAAUUUGCACAAGAACCUAGAAAUCUCCGUUUAGCUCUCUCAACUGAUGGGGUUAACCCACAUAGUACACUUAGCACUACUUAUAGUUGUUGGCCUGUUAUAUUAAUAACAUAUAAUCUUCCUCCAUGAUUGUGUAUGAAGAGAAAGUUUUUGAUGUUGUCACUUUUGAUAUCUGGCCCUAAACAACCUGGAAAUGAUCUAGAUGUAUACCUAGCACCUUUGAUUGAGGACUUAAAAACUCUAUGGGAUGUAGGUAUUGAUGUUUAUGAUUCUUAUAGAAAAGAAACCUUUAAUUUACGGGCUGUCUUGAUGUGGACAAUUAGUGACUUUCCAGCAUACGGAAACCUCUCUGGUUGUACUGUUAAGGGCUAUUAUGCUUGCCCAAUUUGUGGGAUAGACACUUGUGCAUGUUGGCUGCCAUAUAGUAGGAAAAUGUCAUAUAUGGGCCAUCGCCGCUUUCUACCACUCGGUCACCUAUUUCGGAAACUGAAAAAGGUUUUUAAUGGGAAGCAAGAGUGGAAUGAGCCUCCUAAAACUUUGUCUGGUGAGGAAAUCUUUAAUAUGGUGGAAGAUAUAGAUAUUAAGUUCGGGAAAAAGAAGGCCAAAAAGCGGAAACAUGAUGGCGGUGGUGGUGGUGGUGGUGAUGAGAACAUAACUGAAAAAUUGUACAAAAAAAAGUCAAUCUUUUUUGAGUUAGAUUAUUGGAAGCAUUUAUUAGUUCGCCAUCAAUUAGAUGUGAUGCACAUUGAAAAAAAUGUGUGCGAAAACAUAUAUGGCACAUUACUUCAUCAACCAGGCAAAACAAAAGAUGGGAUUAAUGCUAGAAAAGAUCUUGAGUCUUUGAAGAUCAGGGGAAAACUAGUUCCUGAUGAAACAAACAAAAAAAACAAAGUCCUACCUCCAGCUCCUUAUACUUUGAGUAAAAAAGAAAAAAAACAGUUUGGUGAAACCUUGCUGAGUGUGAAAGUCCCUGAUGGGUAUUCUUCCAAUGUCCAAAACCUUGUUUCAAUAGACGAUUGUCGGCUUCAAGGCCUUAAGUCCCAUGACUGUCAUACUUUGAUGCAACAAUUUCUACCACUAGCCAUUCGAAACUGUUUGCCUAUAAAUGUGAGAACGGCCAUAAUCAGGAUGUGCUUCUUUUUUAAUACAUUGUGCUGUAAAGUGGUAGAUCUGAUGGGUGUCGAAGCCAACAAAAAUAAAUUCCUACUCUAAAUAAAUUGUGUAUAGUGAUUGAGCAGGGUCGUGUCCACAGAGAUCGGUAAUUAUUUAAAUCCUUUUGAAACGUAAAACAUAAAAUGGGGGAAUUGUUGACAAUAAUAAAAAUCAAAUUGAAAUAAACAAGAAUGCAAAUUAAAGUUGUAAUUCAAAUUGGAGAAAGCUCUGGUUGAAGGAAUUAACUCAGCUUGAUUCGACUACUGAUCAUUGAUUCAAAUAUAGAUUAUUAUUAUUACUUAUGAAUAGAUCGGUUAUAGCUACUGAGACCCUCUAAUAGCCAAUCUCUCCUUAACUAGUCGAUAACCAAGGUACGACCAUUGGUUAUUUCCCUAAUCAAUAGACAACCCUAGAUACGAUCAUAGGAUUUAAUCAAUUGACAGCCUGAGAAACCAGAGAGACCCAAAUCCUAAUCAACACAUAUGAUGAUUCAUUUAAAUUAGAUUGUUUAUUCUCACAACACAACUCUCUGCUAUGUUAUUUGUCACAAACAUUAAAUUCUUCAUACGAUGAAUCCUUUAAUUGACAAUAGAUUAAGUUGAUAAUUAAAUAGUGGCCAAUUACCUAAUUAACAAACAUAAUCAUGAAAAUAAUUCAGAGAAUAAACAAAUACCCAAAAAGUAAUAAAACAAUUAAAGCACAAGAAAGAUCUCACAGUAGUGAUGAAUCAAAGCUUCAUUAACCUUCAACCAGAAAAAUUGGUUUAGUUCCUCAUAGAGAGAAGAGAAAAAUUAGAUCUAGGGUUUCUUUUUCUCCAAUCCAAAAAUCCCCCCUUUUUCACAAUAAAUUCCUCCCUUAAAUACACUCUCUCUCUUCUCUUUUAGAAUUCUAUUUAAAAUAAAAUACUAAUAUCUGAAAUAUUAAAUUCGUAAUUACAAAAAUAACCAAAAAUACAAAACACGUUAAACUAAAAACUGCAGGUCCGCAGUUGACAGCACGCGCCCACGCCUUAUCAACAAAGUUCUUCUGACGCUCAGAAAUUUCUCCAAGAGAACAAUCCUCCUUAAACAUCAUCUUUUAGCUCAAUUUUAUCAUCAAUCAAUAGAAUUGCACCUACAAAAGUAAAACACAAGUAAAACAUUAUUAUUAAAUGCAAAACAUCGAUAUUAAGGGAAGUAAAUAAUGCAAAACUAGUGCAUAAAUUGCACUCUAACAAGAUCCUAAUACUCUUGACCAAUUGCAAGAGGAACUUGUAAUCACUUUAUGCUUACUGCAGCAGUACUUCCCACCUAGCUUUUUUGACAUAAUGAUCCAUUUAACAGUCCACUUAGUUGAACAAGUUAGGUUAUGUGGGCCUGUUUAUCUUCGAUGGAUGUAUCCUUUUGAGAGACAAAUGAAAACUCUCAAGGAUUAUGUUCGUAAUCGCUACCGCCCUGAGGGUUGUAUUGUAGAAAGUUAUAUUGCAGAAGAAGCACUUGCAUUUUGUGCUGAGUACCUCUCAAAUUGUGAUGUUAUUGGGCUGCCUACUGGUUGUCCAACUGAUUUAUCUAUCGAAAAGCCUUUGGGAGGUGCAAACAUAAAGGUGGUUGAUGAUCCUUUGUUGGCACAAGCACACCGGUGUGUUCUAAUGAACACCCCUGAAAUCCAAAUAUAUAUCGAGUAAGUUGUUAAUUUUUCAAAAAAAUAUUACUAUUGUAUUAUUAGAUUAAUAUACUAGUUUUUAAAUCUUAAUAUGUUUCACUGUAGGGAGCAUAUGCAUUAUUUGGCAUCAAGAAACCCUUAUAAGGCAAAAACAAAUUUGUGGUUGCAAAAUGAACACAUACGAACAUUUUCUGGUUGGUUACAAGCAAAGGUUAGAAUUACUUAACUAAAUACAAUAUAGGAUAUAAACUUAACAAGAUUUUUCUACAUGUUACUAAUUACUGUACUUGUUAAAUUAAUUUAUAGGUGGCACAUGAUAAAGCAAAUAAUGUGCCGAUUGACGAAAUAGUGUGCUUGUUAGCAAACAAACCACGCUCAAGCGUGGUGACCUUCUCUGGCUACGAGAUAAAUGGCUUCAAUUUUACAACGAGGGACCGAGACUGUAAUCGUGUGACCCAAAAUAGUGGUGUUAGGGUUGUUGCUAACACUCUACAGAUUUCAAGCUCAAAAGAUAAAAGUCCUCAUUUUGGAGACAUGACGUUUUAUGGAGUCAUUGAUGAGAUUUGGAAGCUUGAUUAUCUAAUGGUUAAAAAGACACUUUUCAAGUGUGAUUGGGUAGAUGAUAGAGGGGUUUGCACUGACAAUUUAGGUUUCACUGUAGUUGAUUUAAAUCGGAUUGGCUAUAAAUCUGAUUGCUUUAUUCUGGCUUGUCAUGCAAAGCAAGUAUUUUAUGUAAAGGACCAGCUAGAGAAUAAUAAAUCAAUAGUUUGUUCAGUGACCGACAAAGCUUAUAAGUUAAAUGGGGAAAGAUGUGAAGACGUGGAUGUAUUUUCUCCAUUAUCUAACAAACUUCCAGUAUGUGAGUUGGAUGAGAAAGAUGAUGAAGGAAUUUAUGACAGAAAAGAUUGUGAUGCUAUUCCAAUAGAUAUUGAUUUAGAAAAUCAGUGAAUGCAUUAUUGUAGUUAGUUUCCAGCACCAAUUUUCAAAGUUUUCCAGUAAGUGAUUUAUUUAUUUCAUUAUAUGCUAUUGCUCUUGUAUUAACUUAUUAAUCUAAAUGAUAUACUUAUUUAUUUUAAUCAUUUUCAAGAUUGUAGGAGAUGGCUGACGAUGUUGAGUUCACUCUUCCGGAGCUCGACGGAAGACCAAGGAGAAGAAAACAAACAAAAAAAAAAAGGUUUGCAAAAACAAGAAGUUAGUCAUGAAGCUGCAAUUGAGUACAAUUCUUAUGGUGUUCCGGUUGGAAAGGGAAGAAAUGAUCUUAGGAGUUACAUUGGAGUCAUUGUACGUGAAACAAUUUCAAUUUUACUUGAUGAUUGGAGGCGUGUGCCACUAGAGAUGAAGGAAACUUUGUGGGUUCAUUUUCAGGUUUUGUUUUCUUGUUUCAUAGUAUGUUUAAAGAUUUUAUAUAACUUCUAGAUUUUUUUAAAGUUGUUGCUAAUCCAUGUUAUUGGUUGACAGAAAAAAUUCAAAUUGAGCUUGAAAUGCAAAAGCCAAGUAUUAAAGUGGAUGGGGGUUGCAUCAAGAAACUUUCGUUGUGAACUGGCAACUGAAUUCGUUCUACCUAACAAGGACGAUCGAAAGUCACUAAGGUUGCCUCCUAUUGAAUAUCCAAGCAUUAAAAAAGCAGAUUGGAAACUUUUUGUUGACAAAGUUUUGUCUGAACAAUUUCAGGUGUGUUGUUUGUUAAUAUUACCUGAUUUAAUUGUUGGUAGUUACUAAUAAUCAGUGGUAACUUUUUGUUCUUCAUAUAAACUGUUUGUGCAGGAAAAAAGUAAGAAGGCAAAAGACAAAAGAGCAAAGAAUGUCUACAACCAUCGCUUGGGUAGCACAGGAUAUGGUGGCAUGUUGUAUAGAAAAGUAAGUGUGGUAAUAUGGAGUAAUUACAGUAACAUAAGUAAUCUAAUGCGUAUAAUAUAAUAGAAUCAAUUAUUUAUGUUUUAUGUCACCUCGUAACAGAAAAAGGAGAGUGGAGUUUCUGAGCGGGAGAUUGAUCGCAGUGAAGCUUGGUUAAUGGCACGAGCAGACCGAGAUGGCAAAUAUGCUUCUGAUGUGACGCCAAUUGCUGAGAAAAUAGUAAGUCACUUGUAUACUUAAUUCUUAUGAAUUUUCUUUAUAAUAUGUGUGUGUGGGGGUAGAUAUUAACGUACAUAUAUACUGCUUUUUGUAAUAAUUGUAUGGCAACAUUUACAAUUGACAGAAACUCAGUAAGAUUUCAUCAGAACUUAUUUCUUCGCAUAUUAAAAAGUUAAAACUUGUUUGAGGUGUUGUCUUGUAAUAUUUUCUGUAGUUUCAAUUUGAAUUGUAUAUGGAUUUGCUCUUUGUUAAAGAUUCAAGAAGGAUAUUAGUUUAGUUUAGCUGAUGUCUUGUUCUUGUAAUUGCGGAUUUACAAUAUUUUUUUUUUGUAGAAUGAGCUGAAGAGUCAUGUUGAACAAGGAACAUUCCAAUCACAAGGGUCACAUGACAUUCUAGGUGAAGCUCUUCAGAAGCAGCCAAAUGGAAGUAGGGUGCAAGGAGUGGGGCAAUUCGUCACCCCAUCUAUGUACUUUCAUGUCCCUGAUGCCACUGAGUUAGCAAGAGAAAGAAAGAUGUAUCAAGAGAGUUUCCAAUUCAUGUCUGCUCAAUUAGAACGCAUGAAUGCAAGGUUAAAUGCGUACAACAAUACUGAAGUUGGAAGUUCUAACUUUCCUAAGCCCAAAACUUCCACUGGUGUUCAGAUUGACAAUGAUCAACAAUCCCCUGAAACUCUUGGAAAAAGAAAGGUAUAUGGCCUGUUACAUGUCAUUAUUUUAUUUCCAUUUGUAUAUGCAUGUAUUACUACUAAUGGUAUGUAUUUUGAUUAUUGCAAAGGCUGAUUUCCCAUCGGGUAAGUCGACUCCAAAAUCUGUGAAGAGUAAAAUCAAGGACAGUCCCACCACAAUUUCCCAAGCAACUCCUCAACAAACCCCCGAAAAAGUAGACUGUGAAAUUACUUCAAAGCCCACACCGAGAAGAUCUCCUCGACUAACUCCUAAAGUACUAGAUAGGCAGUUCUCCUGUCAUGACAAAGUACCCAACAAAGAACCACCAGUCAUCAGACUAGCAGAAGUAGCCAAAAAAGAACCCAGAGUCAUCAUACCAGCAGAAGUAGCCAAAAAAGAACCCAGAGUCAUCAGACCAGCAGAAAUAGCCAAAAAAGAACCCCGAGUCAUCAGACCAGCAGCAAAAGACCUCAAUGUACGUGUGAAGAAUACACAGGCAGCAGCACGAUCAAGAAAGAAUGACAGGAGUGAAUAUAUGAACAUGUUUACCAUGUUCAUCGAGAAUUCUUUACCUCGGUUGAUCAGGAUUCGGCAUGACACAGCAACCUUUGGUGAAAUUUGGGAAACACACUUGGACAAAAUGAUUUGUGCUGAAAUCAUCGAGUUUAAAGAGGUCUCAAACUGCAUCAUUAACAUAUGGAUCAAGUACGGUAAAUCAUAACUUAUGUUUUAGUAAACUUGGCCCUAUUAUUUUGUUUCCUAUAUUCAAACUUACUUCGUUAUAUAUAUUUGUUUCCUCUUAGACACCUGUAUGAGGAGAUGAAGAGCAAUGGAAGUACUAAACCAGUUCAGUUUGGGCUUUUUGAGAAGCUAUAUCCAAGGGUCAGUUUCAAAGACAGGACUCAAUACAUUUCAAAACUGUUAGGCUUGGCAGAAUUGGGACAAGUCAUCGUAUUCCCGUAUAACCCUGGGUAUAACCUUUUUCAUUUGCUAGUAAUAUUCUUUAAUUUGUAGAUUAAUCACUUUUACUUGUAAUUCAUGUGUGAGAACAAUUUUUACUUUGUUUAGUGCCCACUGGGUGUUAUUGGCAAUUGAUAUGGUGAGACGUACAACCUAUUACCUUGAUCCUUUGGAAGGUAGUCCUGAUGAAGAGCUAAUGCAGAUUGUCAAUCAGUUAAGUUUGUUAUUUGUAUCUUUGAUCAUGCUAUUUUAUUUUUAUGUCUUAUGCUAAUUAUUUGCUAACGUUAGCUAUGUCUCUUAAUUGUAGGGGGAUUCGAAUACAUCAGAGUUUAAAUUCUGAUACAAAGGCCAAUGUUCAAUGGAUACCUGUCAAGGUAAAAAUCAGACAAACCUAACUAAUUAUUGUUAACGUACAGUAAAAAAUUAAUGUAAUUUUGAUCUUGUAGUGUCCGAGGCAGCCGAGCAGCUUUGAAUGUGGUUACUAUGUGAUGAAAUACAUGCAAGAUAUCAUCACAAAUGUGAACGUUCUGAAAAAUAAUGUAAGUAUUGAAAAUGAUUUUUACAAUACUGUAUCAUAUUGUUUUAAUUUAUUGUGAAAUGAAUCAGCUCACACACCUGUGUGCUUCUUUACAGUUAUCUUUUUAUUGCGUAUUGUAUGCAUUUUAUAAACUGUGAGGGUACUUAUAAUGGUGACUAUGUUGCAUACUGUUGAAUAGAUUAUAUGAAUAUCCAUAUAGACAUGAAUUAGGAUUUGGGAUAUACACAAUGUACUGCAUAUCCCAACACAAAACAAUUGUUUGGGUUGCAAAGUAGUUGUUAGUGGGGAUGUGCUAUGGUGUCGUUGCUUGUACUUUACUUUGAUGAGGAUAAGUUGUCAUCCUAAUUAAGGUUUUGUAUCUACAUCCAUAUUUGUAUUAAAUCGCGUACUGUUGGGGUUCACAAGUUGCUUCGGCUAUCAAAUAUUGUUGUUGUUGGGGUUCACAAGUUGUUUUUUUUUUUGGAAUUACCAUGAUCAGGAUGUUCAGUAUUUACCUAUAUAAUUUUGGAUAAAACAGUAACAUUGUUGGAGUUUAUUUGUUGGCUUUAAUUGUUAACACACAAAUGUAUUUAAAUGAAUGAUAAUUAAGUAGUUUAGUCAAGGAUUUUCGGUGAAUAACUUGUUGUUUUAAAAUUAAAGUUCAAGGGAGUUGAGGAAUACACUGUCAAGGACCUCUCGCGACUUCGUGAUCAGUGGACUACAUACGUUGCCAAGUUAAUUACAGCCUACAAUCGCGAGGUAACAUACAAGUAAUUUAUGAUUAUUUUUCCUUAAACAAAUCUGUGAUUUAUUUUUUGUGGUGUGCUAAUUGAUUUUAUAUACUUGUAGGUGGAAAAAAAAUGAAGGCAUAUGCGGACUCCAAAAUCAGUGACUCCAAAAUCAGUGACAUUGUUAUCUGUUUUUUCUUCUUGGCUAAAUUUUCUGAAAUUAAUUUAGUACUUUAUCGUGUAUACUACUUGUUCAAAGCUUCAUUUUGUACUUGAACAUGUUUUUUACCCCCAAACAAUGAUGUAUUUGAACUAUUUUAAUUUAACUGAUGUAUUUGAACUAUUUUAAUUUAAUUGAUGUAUUUGAAAUGUGUAUUAUGUGAAUUGCGUUACAAGAUUUGGUAUGUUUAAUAUAUUUUGGGUUUAUUUUAAUUGUAAAAUAAACAUGAAUAAUGUCAUUAAAAAAAAUAAAACACAACCGGUAUAGCACCGUUAAUACUGACACUAAUUAUUUAAAUGACGAUAAGAAUUUUUGAUGUUACUGAGUCAGUGGAUUCCUGAUACUGUAGUCACAUAAAUCAGUGACAUGUAAAUAGUAUCAUUAAAUGCUAACGCGAUUGAGUCACUAUCCUUGUGACUCUCUAGUGACACAAAAUACUGACAUAAAAAUAGUAUCAACUGAUACUAACAUCAUAGUAUCACUAUGGUGGUGAUACUAUAGUGACACAAAAUACUGACGCAAAAAUCACUGACACUAAAGAUUAGUGUCAGUGUGUUCUGGCUUGAGCAUUACUGACACAAUUAACAAGUUUCAGCAAAAGUAAUUACUGACACUAAAUUGGUGUCAGUAAAGCCCAUUUUUCUAGUAGUGAUAGAAAUCAGAGGGAGCCUUAUGAGAAAUUGUGCAAAGCUAACAAAAUGGCUAUGUGAUAUAUAUUGGCUUCGAUUUCUGUGGAAUUGAGUAACAAACAUCAGAGCAUGGAAACAACCACUGAAAUAAUGGCUAGUCUUCAUCAGAUGUUUGGGCAGAAUAUUCAUUUUGCCAGAGAAGCAGCAUUAAAACAUAUUAUGGAUACUAAGAUGGAAGAGGGCAUAAGAGUUCGUGAUCAUGUCCUCAAAAUGAUGGACUAUUUGAAUGAAAUAGAGAUUCAUGAUGUUCAAAUCGAUGCUAAAACAAAGAUUAACACAGUGAUUGAAUCUUUGCUUGAUACAUUCAAAGAGUUUAAGAUCAGUUAUAUCUUAAACAAUAAAGAUAUGACCUUAGUUAAUUAAUGCACGAACUACAUGCUAUAGAAGAAUUUUAUCAUAGUAGGAAACUUCCUGAAAAAGGAUUCUCUUGAAGGUUUAAGUCGAAAGACAAGAAUAAUCAAGAUAGAGUUGGGAUGAGAAAAUUGUCCACUAAAAGAGAUGGCAAGCCAAAAUGCAAGUGUUAUAAAUGUGGGCAGAAGGGUCACUGGAAGAAAGAUUGUCAUAAGAUUAUUAAAAUCAAGUAUAUGAAAUUUUUAAUCUUUCUAAUUAGUUCAUAUUUCUAUUGAUUCAUACAAUAGUGAAUUUUGAGAUAACAAAUCUUAUUUAUAAUUCAUUUAUUUGGUUUUCAGGAAACUAAGAGAUUAAGUGAACAAAGCUUCAAACAGCAACUGAGGACAUGCUAGUUUAUAUCAGUUGAAAAGAUAGAUCAAUUUUACGAGACUUUAGUUUUGAUAUUUGUCUUUAUUAUUCUAAAUAUUAGAGGAAUUUAAUUUCGGUAGCUUGUUUUAAUAAAUAGGAGUACACUGUUAUUUUUUUAUCCUCUGUUUAUUACUUAUUUUGGUUCUUUAUGAUGACAAUUUAUAUCAUAUAAGUUCAUUGAUCUAUUCAAAGUAAGAUAUAAUGAUAAAGAGUAUAUGCAUUUAUCUAAGAAAAGAAAUGUUUCUUCUAACCAAUAUCACCUAUGAUAUUUAUGCUUAAAUCAUAUAAACUAUAAUAAGAUUUUUAAAAAAUGAUUAAUGAUAGGCUUGUUGGCCUAUUAAGAUUAAUAAUUGUCACUCUAUAAAUCUUAUUUAGAAAAGUAAUAUGACAAGGAUGCUUUUUUUGAGCCAAAAGCAUAAUAUUAUAUUGGAUGACUUAGCGCAUACAAAUGUAUACGGAUUAAUCAGUUUACAUGUUAUAAGAGGUUAUGAGUAUUUUAUGAAUUUUAUUGAUGAAUAUUCAUUUCAUUUAUGUUUGUCUAAAUGCAUUAUGAUUCAAUCGCUUUAGAAAUUCAAAGAGUAUAAGGAUGAGACAGAAAGCAAUUAGAUAAGAACAUAAAGAAACUACGAUCUGAUCGAAGUGGUGUAUCUAGCUGAAAAUAGGAUUAUAUCUCAGUUGACUGUCCUGGGAACACCACAACAAAAUGGGGUAGCUAAAAGGAGAAAUAGAACUCUUUUGGAUAUGAUGAGAUAUAUGCUUAGUUAUUCGUCAUUACCAAUCUCUUUUUGGGGAUUAGCAUUGGAAACUGCAGUUUACCUCUUGAACUUAGUUCCAUCUAAGUCAGAGUCUAAAACCCCAAUAAAAUUAUGGUCAGGUCGCAAACCAAGUUUACGACAUGUUUGUAUUUGGAGAUCACCAGCACAUGUGCUGAAACCAAAGACAGAUAAAAUGGAUUCACGUUCUGAGGUUUAUAUGUUUGUGGGGUAUCCUAAAAGAAAAAUGGGAGGAUUAUUUUAUAGUUCUCAAGAUAGGAAAGUGAUCAUGAGCACAUAUUUCACUUUCCUCGAGGAAGACUAUAUGGAUAACUUCAAAUCUAAAAGUAAGGUAAUACUUGAAGAAUUGUCAGGUGAUCAAGUUGAUGCUUAGAUUUUAACACCUGUUAUAGAACAGGAAGAACAACAAUAACUAGCUGAUCAACACAGGAUUAUCCCUGAACAACCAUCAAUUUUAGAAUCUCGUCAUAGUAGGAGGGUAGCUAGGUUACCUGCUAGAUACAUGUUAUUAGGAGAAACAUAUAUGGCUAUCUCAGAUAAACAUGUACAAAAUCCCACUAGCUACAACGAAGCUCUAAUAGACAGAGAUGUUGAACUUUAAAAAAGAUCAUGGAUCAAGAAAUGAAAUCUAUGUGUUCCAAUAAAGUCUAGGAACUUGUAGAGGCACCAAAUGAGGUAAAACAUAUAGGGUGUAAGUGGAUAUACAAGAGAAAAAGAGGAGUAGACGGAAGGGUGAAAACAUUUAAAGCAAGAUUAGUAGUCAAAGGGUUUACUUAGAAAGAGGGAAUCGAUUAUGAGAAAACAUUUUCUCUGGUUGUUAUGCUCUCCAUUAUUGCAGUGCUAGAUUAUAAAAUUUGGUAAAUUGAUGUCAAGGCUGCUUUUCUUAACGAGCAUCUUGAAGAAGACAUCUACAUGUAGCAACCAGAUAGAUUCAUAUAAAAAGGCCAAUAACACAUGGUAUGUAAGUUGCAGAGAUCCAUUUAUGGAUUGAAGCAAGCAUCCCGGUCAUGGAACAUCAGAUUUGAUCAAGCGAUUAAAUCGUUUGGAUUCAUUCAGAAUAUUGAUGAACCAUAUGUGUACAAGAAAAUUCAGGGAAAAUCUGUAGCCUUCCUAGUUCUUCAUAUAGAUGAUAUUCUCCUUAUUGGAAGCGAUAUAAGAGUAUUGACUACAAUAAAGAGUUGGUUAACAAAAUAAUUUGAUAUGAAAAACCUGGGAGAGGCAAGUUAUAUUUUUGGUAUCAAAUUACUACGAGAUUAGAAGAAUAAAACUUUAACCUUGUAUCAUUUGCUUGUAUACUUAGUGGUUUCAAUACAAUAAAUAUUCAAAUUUGACAUAUUGAGAGGAAUACAAUAAAUAUUCCAAAUAUGUUUUUGACAAGUUAUUCCAAAUACAAUAAAUAUUCCAAAAGGAUCUGCCAAAAACAUAUUUGGAACCACAAGAAACAAAAACAUAUUGAGAGGAAGUAUCAUCUUAUAAGGGAUAUAGUGCAAAGAGGUGAUGUGGUAGCUACUCAGAUUGCGUCACAAGAAAACUUGGCAGAUCCUUUUACUAAGGCCAUACCUGGGAAACUUUUUAACUUGCACUUAUAAUCCAUUGGCAUGAGUGAGAUGCCAAAUAUGGUUUGAGAGCUAGUGGGAGAUUGUUGGGAAAAUAUGCUCCUUAAAAACAUAUGUGUUUAUUUAAUUGUAAUGAAUAAUUUUUUUGAUUAAUAUAAUAAAUGAGGUAUUUUAUUCAAGUAUCUUAGUUACAUUAAUAUUUGGAGUAAAGUCCAUUUAAUCAUAUUAUAUGUAUUUACGUGAUCACCAUAUGGAUUCACAGAAGACAUAAAUACAAGUUAUCUUAUGAUUAAAUAAAUUAAGUUUGCAGUUGAUAAAUAAAGUUAGGCACUUUAUUUAGGUAUAGACUGUAAUAAAUUCAUUUAAUGAUUCGUCUUAAUCAUGUAUGAAUUUAUUGAUGUAGUAAGACUAUAUUGAAUUGGAUCACAUAUGAGAUUUAAUUAACUUUGUAAUAACUGUCAGACUUAUUAAAUCUCAUAAGCAUUGAUUUUACUAUAAUCUUAAUCUUCAGUUAGUUAUAAUUUCAUGAUUAUAAUUAUUAUUCCAUUUGAGUUACCAAUUGACAUGACACACACUUGUAGUCAAGAUUACUCAGUAUCUUGAUAGGAGCAAUUAUAAAUAUUAAAGUUAUAGAUUAACAAUAUAGAAUUUGUACAACACAUCUCUUGAUGAGUUUUCGACACUUGAUCAUAAAAUUCUCUGGCCAGAUUGUGUCAACAUAUUUAGUAUGUUGAACAUGAUCAUUAGAGAAAAUCAGUAAGUAUCAAGGAAUAAAAUGUAAUUAAAUUAAUUAGACAGUUGAGAUGUCGAUUUAAUUAACAAGGUGGUACAAAUGAUUAUGCAGUAAAGAAAUCAAUGUGGCAUGGGUCGAAUUAUUAUUCGAGAACACUAUCCUAGAUAACAUACAAUUAUGGAGGUCAGUUCGAAUUUUUUAGUGGAGUAGAUUUGGAAUUAAGUAAUUGGGCUAGUUUAAUGACAGACCUAAUUAUUGUAGCCACUAUUGUAUGUACUCAUAUAAUCCCCGGAUUAGCUCAUUUAAUUGACUGAACCGCUACUGGAUUAAUAAGCAAGAUACAAACUAACUAUUUUGGUUAAAAGCCUAAAUAUAUUAUUUAGUUGGAGGCUCCAUUUAAUAUGCUUGUGUGUAAGGAGUCUUGUGUUAUUUUACAAGAUGGACCCCUAUAACAAGAGCAAGUAACGCCACUUUUAGUUUUAUUUUUUUAAUUUAAAUCAAAUUUGAUUUAAGAGAAUUAAAAAUAUAUAAAUAUGGAGCCUAGGGUUUCCACUAAAUAGAGAUAUAAAGGGACUUGUUUUCUCUAAAAGGGGAGAGGAGCCACCAUAUACAGAUCAGAGAAAAAGAGUUUUUCUGUCUAAUUUUGAGAAAAAUAUUUUCUCUUGCUAGUUGCUUUUAGUGGUGAUAAAGGCGCCCACACGUCAAGUGCAUAUCAAACUUGAGUCAUAACUUGGAAGAUCAUUGGUGACGGAUCGUGAUAUAAAAAGAUUAGUGGUGACAGUUCGUGAUCUAACGGGAGUGGUGGUAACGGAUCGUGAUCUGGGAGCGUAGAUUACUUUAGCAAAAAAGUAAAGGUACGAUUUCUAAAUUAUGGUAAUUUUAUAUAUUGUAUGAGAAUUGCGAUCGAAAUAUUUCCGCUGCAAAAUAUUUUUAAACCAACAAUUAGCAACUUAAUACACUUGGUACGCUGGAACGGAUUGUAAAUAUAAUAUUAUCAUAAAAUUUAUUUAAAUUUAAUUGUAUCAUUUUCAAGAGAAAGUAUCAUUUUUUUUUAUGCAACUAAGUUAUCUAGAGACAAACCUUCUCUUGUGUUCUCACAGCUUUGGGGAAGCUUCAAAGGACACAGCUUGGAUUGUCCAUUAUGCUAAUAUACCUGCCUAUAAAUAGGAGGGUUGACCUCAACUGUGAGUAAAAGAACUGCGAUACUCGUGUUCCUUCCUGUAAUAACGAAAGCGUCUUAAUUAAUUCAGUGUUUCUACUUCAGCAAAAUAAAAAUAAACUCUUGAUUGAAAUAAAACCAACUUUCAUAAUUUUCAAUUCUAAUUUUCUUAUAAAAAUGACGCCAUGAUUGGAUGGCAUUGUCCUUGUGUUGUGUCAUUGAUUUAUCCAUCUUUGUUUUUCCCAAAAACAAUUUCCAUGAAAGAGGAUGUUUUGCUGCUCAUUAGUAAACGCUAUUUAAGCACAAGAAAUGAUUGAGAUUUAUGCAAAGUACGUGGCAGAAUUUAUGUAAGAUGACUGAUGAUUCAUAAGGAAAGCUAAACAUGGGAGUUGGUAACUUUUAGCAUGGUGAUCAACAUGUGUUGUAGAAAAUUUUUAGAAUUUUACUAUAAGUGGUACACAUAAAAGUCAGUAAGUCUAACUUGUACUCAAAUAUUAGCUCAUAUCUUAAUAGUCGCCUUAAGCUUAUGUUAUUAAUCAAUUAACUAAUCUCAGCCCGUCUGAAAAAUCUUUUCUAUCACCUCCAGUACUUGUAGGUCAAUUUUUUGUUUGGUCUUUGUCAAUAAUUCAAGUGAUGGGUUUUUCUUUGCCAAUAACGCACGAUAGUUCCUUGUCAUGAGCUUCUAGGGGUGUUCGCGGAUCGGAUUUUACGGAUUGAACAUCAAUCCAUAUCCGAUCUAUAAUUUUAUGGAUUAUAAAUUUUCAAUCCAAUCCAAUCCAUGGAUUGAUAAAAUUCAAUCCAUAUCCAAUCCAUACGUUUGCGGAUCGGAUGCGGAUUUGACUCAAUCCAUAUGCAAUCCACCAUUUUGCGCAUUAGUUUUCGAAUUAAAAAUUUUUUAGUUCUCUCCAACUAAUGAAAUAAAAAAAAAUCUAAUAUAAAAAUAAUUUUGCUACAAAUUAAAUUUAAAAUUGAAUAAAAUUUAAAUAAAUUAAUUGUUUAAAUAAAGCUAAAAUAAUACAUUUAAAGUUUCAAAAUAUAGCACAUCGAGACUAAUUAUUCAAAUAAAGCUACAAUAAUACGUUCAAAGUUUCAAAAUAUAACAUACCAAGCUUAAUUGUUCAAAUAAAGUUACAAUAAUACGUUAAUAUAACACCGAAAUUAAUUGUUCAAAUAAAGCCACAAUUAAUUGAAAUGGCGAAGUUUCGGAAACCAAACACAGUUUGAUCCUUCACUAGGGCUGUUGCGCCUGUCGAAAAAUGGUGAUUACGGAGCCAUCCACGAUGGGAACCAGGAGAAGCCGUGCAGGUGGCGAUCUUAAAGGUUGUGAUAGUGAAAUUCUUCAGCUGGAACAAGUGAAUGUGAAGUGGCUCGAUGGACUUGGGAAAGAAGAUGGCUUGCUCUCGCCGGAAUCGCGCGGCCGAUGUCCUUUAAAUCCGUAUUGAGAGUGUAUCCAACCAGUAUUGAGUGUUGCUAGUGUGUGUGACGGCGGGAAAGCUUAGGGCUUUUUGUUUGCAAAUUGUUGGUGACUUGGCGUUAUGUUACUUUACUUUUGCUAGUGCGUGCCACUUUGCUUUUAUUUUGUUUUACAAUUUUUACAAGUUAUAUUUGUAUAUUUGAUUAUUUAAUUAUUUUUUAUUUUAUAUUAUUAUUGGGUAAUGGCUAAGAUAUGUUAUAGUGCUUAGUAACUAUGCAAUGCCACAUUUAUAAUUUUUUAAAUUAAAUUUAUAAUAAUUUUUUAAUUAUAUAUAUAUAUAUAUAUUUAUUUUUUUUUGCGAAUUCACGGAUUUCUACGGAUUUACAGAAGUAAAUCCAUAUCCAAUCCAUCGACUGCGGAUUUUUAAAUUUUCAAUCCAUAUCCAAUCCACCAAUCUACGGAUCGGACGGAUUGAGCGGAUCGGAUUGGAUUAUGAACACCCCUAUGAGCUUCUUAUCUUCUGUCUUGAAGGAAGAAAUUGCAAAAGACAAAUGAAACAAUUUCCUUUACACAUCAAUCAGUGCUGCAGCCUUUAUAUCUUUAUUAUUCUCGGAGGGAUGAUAAUGUUGAGAGCCGAAACAAUUACUAGUACUCACUCCUCUUAUGGCCAUGUCUAACUCUCUACAAUAAUUUCGAUAUUCCUGUUCUUCAGUUCUUCCACUACCCAACAAGUACGACGGUAUGUACGGUGGCUUCAUUGCUAGAGCCUCUGUGGGCAUAUUUUAACAACGUGAAGGAAGAGCUAAUUAGAAUUCACACAAUUUUCCUGAAAGUCUACAACUUCCAGGAAAUUCACCACCUCUGUAGAAUUGUAAUAAUAAGACUUGUGGUUUCUGUAAAAGAAUUUAUAAGAGUUAAUAUAAAAGAAUUCGAAAAUGAAUUUUAUAUGGACUAGAAAUACUCUUGAUUAAUUGGUUAUUCAAAUGGUUUAGAAAUCCCCUUAAUAUUAGGAAGUCAUUUAAAAUUCUGAUUGUUGUUGUUCUAAAUAUAUUACUUUGCACUAACUUCCAAUUCCACAAUUACUCUGACAGCCCCGUUUUCACGGAUUUAUUUAUGUAUCUGAAUCUUUUUAUUCAUGAAAGAAUAAUCUCUUGCAAACUCACAACUUCAAUUAUGAAUCAACUAGCUAGCAACCAUUUCUUUAUUUUUAAUUGCUUUGGAAAUUAAGGAUUCGUCCAGCCGCCAGAUUCCGCAGUGAUUCUAUUGCAUUGGAUGUCUUCAAUUUUCUUUUGCAUUAGAUUAUUUGUUGAACUAUUUAUUCACAAGUGAAGGAGGAAUUAUAGAAUAUAUCUGAGAUAAUACAAUCAACUAAUGCAUAUACAACGUGUGUAAUUGAAUUUAGUGUAAACAUCACCUAUAUUUUUGAAAAUAAAUGCACACAAGUUAUAGUAUCAUUUGCUUGUUAUAUGACUUACAGUGUAUUCUAGAAUUUUUCCCAAGUGGAGACCAUGAGUGGUAACAUCCAUCUGACAUAAGAGUAUUACAAAGAGAUAAUCACUUGUCAAAUUUGAAUAUUUAUUGUAUUGAAACCACUAAGUAUAUAAGUUUGGACAACCCUAAAUUCAUGAUGAGAAGUUAAAGACAGUAGUACUCUAAAAGAAAAUGGAACGAAAUGAUCCAUUCAUACCUAUUAUUUGACUUUUAGAUUUGCCCUUCUAAAUUUUAACAAAAUGCACACAUGUUCUCUUGACAAAUUUUUAUUUAUUCAUGUGAACGAAGUAUAACAAAAUUAUUGACCAAUCAGAACCAAGAUGGAAAUAAUCAUCAACAAAAGUAAUCUGCAAGGACGAAUAGAAGCAGAUAGAUUAUUCCAAAAAGAAACUAAGUGCAAGUGGAAUUACUGUAGUACUGAUUAUUCGAGUGUGGCGGGAACGUCAUCGAAGAAGGGUAAACUUCUCUGUUUCAGGAUUUCACAACCCUCAGGACUUGCUGUGUUUGGAUCAAAAAGCUCACGAUCAGGCAGAGGUAAGCCAAGUUUUAUUUGACCCACUCGCCGCGAAUGCAGGACUUGCUUGGUCGUGACAGGUAGCCUAACAGAUUGAUAUUCUUCCAGAGCUGAAUGUAAAUUUUCUUCCCCCAACUUCUCAAGGCAUUUACCUAACACUGCUGCAUCAGCUAUGGCCAUGUUUGUGCUUCUUGCACAGUGAUGGGUUAUGGGAUGAGCCGCAUCUCCAAUAAAGACCACGUUGUUGUUGAAAAGUCAAAGAAGAGCUUGCCAAUUUCAAGGUUGGUAGCACGAUUCAACAAAUUGUUGGUUACACCAACAAUUGUAGAGAUUUUUCAAGCCGAAAAGAAAGAAUGGACAAAGGGGAUGGAUUUGAAAAUAAUAAUAAUUAAAAAUUAUAUUUUUAAUUAUUUUAUUCUUUGCAUAGUAAUUCAUUUCUCCUAUAAAUAUCUAAGGAUUUCAUUCAUUUGAAAUCAUCCCAAAAUUGUUAAGCUUAUAAGUUUCUAAGCUUUUGAGAGAAGUGAGAGAAGUGUGUCUGGAGAAUUUAUCUUUCCUGCAGAGUGUGAGAGUACUGGGUAUAUUUGGGUUUCUGGGAAGUGAGAUUCGUUACUCAAAUAUUGUAUUCUAUUAAUUGUUAAAUAAACAAUUAUUCUUUCUUGCCUCCGUGGAUGUAGGUUUAAUUACCGAACCACGUAAAUUCUUGUGUCCUUUAUUUUUCAGUAAUUUUUGGUGCGCUUGAUUCCGCAUUCCGCGCACAACAAGUGGUAUCAGAGCCGACGGUUCGUACUUGGGGGGAUACGGUAUUGUUCACGUAUACGGUACUAUUCCCGUAUACGGUACUGUUCAUAUACGGUACUGUUCACGAAUACGGUGGAGACGGCCAUUUGUACUUGGGAAACAAUCUAUUGUAAGUAGUGUGUAUUUUUGCAUGUCUAGGAAAGUUCUGUCAACAAAGGCAAUAAGAGUCUAAGGAUUCUGGUUUUUAAUUGGGACCGAGUCCCCGUCCAGUCUCCUGGGAACUUUCCUGGUGCAUUUAUUCACGCGAAAUUAACAUCAUAGAGACUGUUUUUCAAGUGGAAAUAUUUUGUUGAGAAAAUGGUAGAAGGUGAAACUUCCAGAAUUGGGGAGAGAUCUACCGAGACUAUUUCAGGAGACACUUCAGGUGGGAGGCGAGAUUUGUCAAAUCGCUAUUCAGCACCUGUUAUAGGAGGCCAGAAGAUCGAUGUUGAAAAGUUUGAUGGGAAAAUCAACUUCGGCAUGUGGAGGCGCGAAGUUAUGGAUGCCCUUAUUCAAAUCGAUCUCGAUGUUGUUCUGAAAAAUAAAAGACACUUGUAUGAUGAAGAAAUUUGGGAUCGUAUGAACGAGAAAGCCUGUGGUCAGAUCAGAUCUUGUUUGACCAAGGAGGUAAAAUACUUGGUGAAAGAUGAGGAGUGUGCGGUGACUUUGUGGCGUACAUUGGAGGAAAAGUACCUAGUGAAAAGUCCUGAAAAUCGCCUUCAUGCAAUGAGCCAAGUAUAUGGUUUUCGAAUGAAGCCUAUGUUGUCAAUGCACGAUCAUGUUUCAAGAUUUGAAAAGUUACUUGCUGAUUUGAAGAAUCUUGAUGAAGAUAUUAAGGAUGAAGUCAAGGCUAUGAUUCUGUUACACUCACUACCAGAGGAAUAUAGCCAUUUUGUGACUACUUUGAUAUAUGGGAAGAGUGUGAUCGUCUUUAAAGAUGUUUGCACAGCAUUGACUAGCUUAGAGAUUCGAAAUAAUGAUAAAAAUUAUGAACGAGCAUCGUCUGAAGCUUUGGUGAGCAGAGAUUGGGCGAUGGCGAAACAGAAGAAGCGUGGUGGAAAGAAUUCUCGAUCCAAAUCGAGAAGCAGAAAUAUAGCUCGAGAUGAGUGUGCCUUUUGUCAUGAAAAAGGCCAUUGGAGGAAAGAUUGUCCAAAGGCUCAAAAGAGAGAUGGGAAGAAACCAGCAGCAGCAAACAUGGCAUGGAAAGAUGAGGGCUUUGAUUAUUCACUAAGUAUUACUCCUGCAGCAUACGUGGCUAGUUCGAACGAGUGGAUACUUGAUACUGGAGCAACCUAUCAUUUGUGUCCUAUUAAGGAAUGGUUUACGGAUUUUCGUAAUAUGGAAUCCAGUGCAGUUGUGAUGGGGAAUGAUCAACCUUGUCGUACAAUGGGGAUAGGAACAAUUCGGCUCAAAAUGUUUGAUGGAAUGGUCAGAGAACUCAAAGAGGUUAGAUUUGUUCCAGCUUUAAAGAAAAAUCUAAUUUCUGUAGGUGCUUUGGAAGCUAAAGGCUAUAAGGUUACCAUUGAAGAUGGUAUAAUGAAGUUUACACAUGGGGCUAUGGUGAUUCUACAAGGGGUUCAACGUCACAAUCUGUACUAUUUGAAGGGAGGUACAACUGAUGAAGCAAAUAUUGUUGAGGCGCACAGUGACACCACCAAGCUAUGGCAUGUACGACUGGAACAUGUUGGAGAGAAGUCUUUGCAAACUCUGAUGAGGCAUGGACUCUUAAAAGGUACCAAAACCUGUAAAUUAAAUUUCUGUGAGCAUUGUGUAGUAGGCAAGAAAACACGGGUCAAGUUUGGUACAGCUAAUCACGAUACUCAUGAGAUCCUUGAAUAUGUUCAUAGUGAUGUAUGGGGACCAACCAAGACUGCAUCAAUUGGUGGAAGCCAUUAUUUUGUUACAUUUGUUGAUGAUUUCUCUAGACGUGUGUGGGCGUACACCAUGUGAGCAAAGGAUGAAGUUCUAGAGAUUUUCGUGAAAUGGAAGAAAUUGGUGGAGACUCAAACUGGCAGAAAGAUCAAAGUAUUACAAUCUGAUAAUGGGGGUGAAUAUACUUCUGAUCCAUUCUUGCAAGUAUGCCAGAACGAGGGUAUUAAAAGACAUUUCACGGUGAGACAUAUUCCGCAACAGAACGAUGUGGCUGAGCGUAUGAAUCGUACUUUACUGGAGAAGGUACGAUGUAUGUUAUCUAAUGCUGGUUUAGAUAAAAAAAUUUGGGCUGAAGUUGUGAGCUACGCAAGUCACUUGAUAAACCGGUUGCCUUCUGCUGCAAUUGGAGGUAAAACUCCUAUGGAAAUGUGGUAUGGAAAACAUGCACAAGACUAUGAUUCCCUUCAUAUAUUCGGAUGUCCAGCUUAUUAUCAUGUCAAAGAUGGUAAACUGGAUCCUCGUGCUAGAAAAUCUAUCUUUGUGGGAUUCAAAGGUGGAGUAAAGGGCUUCAAGCUUUGGGAUCUCGAAGGCAAAAAGUUUGUGUGUAGCAUAGAUGUCACAUUUGAUGAAGCUUCAAUGAUGAAGGCUUCAAGUUCUCAGCAGGUGGAGAACAAGACUAAAGAGGUAUUGCAGCGGGUGGAGUUUGAUGCAACUCCAUAUGUACCAGUUAGUUCUACAUAAAAAAAGGGUUCAACUAUGGAGGUGACACCUAGAGUUAAAGAAGAGGUUGUUUCUUCUGAUGUCCCACAAAAUGAAGAAACAAUUGAUGAUGUAGAUAAUGAUGAUUUUAUAGCAACAAGGAGGCUAAGAAGAGAGAUAAAGAAACGUGGAUGGCUUACUAAAGAUAUGGUGGUAGCUUAUGCACUUCCAGUUAUUGAUGAUGACAUCCCCAACACUUUCGGUGAAGUAUUACACAGCAGUGAAAGUGAUCAGUGGAAGUUAGCCAUGGAGGAAGAGAUGAAAUCUCUCUAUCAAAACCAGACUUGGGAACUUGUAAAGUUACCAAAGGGGAAAAGGGCUAUUGGCAAUAAAUGGGUCUACACCAAAAAGCAAGGAUCUCCGAAUCAAUCAACUCCUCGAUACAAGGCAAGGCUCGUGGCAAAAGGUUUUGCUCAAAAGGAAGGUAUUGACUAUAAUGAAGUUUUCUCUCCAGUUGUAAAACAUACUUCCAUUCGUAUCCUACUUGCCUUAGUUGCAGAAUAUGAGUUAGAGUUGGCUCAAUUGGAUGUUAAGAUGGCGUUCUUACAUGGAGAUUUGGAGGAAGAAAUCUAUAUGAUUCAACCUUGUGGUUUCAGAGUUGCUGGAAAGGAGAAUCAUGUGUGUAGGUUGAUUAAAUCUUUGUACGGACUGAAGCAAUCGCCAAGGCAGUGGUACAAAAGAUUUGAUCAAUUUAUACAAGGGCAGAAAUUCACUAGAAGUGAACACGAUCAUUGUGUUUACUUUAGAAGACUACCAGAUGAAGCUUUCAUCUAUUUGUUACUCUAUGUUGAUGAUAUGCUUAUAGCUUCGAAGAAUAGAGAUAAGAUCGAAAGAUUAAAGAAGCAGCUGGCUUCUGAGUUCAAGAUGAAAGACUUGGGUGAUGCACAUAGAAUACUUGGGAUGGAGAUUCGUAGAGACAAGAAGAAUGGGAGCGUAUGGUUGACUCAAAAGUCUUAUUUGAAGAAAGUGCUAAAAAGAUUCGGUAUGGAUAACAAAACUAAACCGGUAUGUACACCUCUAGCUCCUCAUUUCAAAUUAAGCUCUUCUUCAUGUCCUAGAUCUCAAGAGGAGAGCAAUUACAUGGCUCGUGUUCCAUAUGCUAGUGCUGUGGGUAGUCUUAUGUAUGCUAUGGUAUGCAUAAGGCCCGAUAUAUCUCAAGCAGUGAGCAUGGUUAGUAGAUACAUGCACAAUCCGGGUAAAAAUCAAUGGCUUGUGGUAAAGUGGAUUCUCCGAUAUCUGUAUGGGACAGUUGAUGUUGGGUUAUUGUUCAAGAAGGAUUGUGGUCAACAAUGUGUUGGGUAUUGUGAUUCUGAUUUCCCUGGAGACCUUGACAAGCGAAGAUCAACAACGGGCUACGUAUUCACAUUGGGUGAAGGUCCGGUUAGCUGGAGGUCGAUUCUACAAUCGACAAUUGCUCUGUCCACUACGGAAGCAUAGUAUAUGGCAGCAACUGAAGCUGUAAAAGAAGCUAUCUGGUUGAAAGGCUUGUUAGGUGACUUGGGAGUAAUCCAGGAGAACAUUGCAGUCUUCUGUGAUAAUCAAAGUGCGAUAUUCCUUGCGAAGAAUCAAACAUAUCACGCUCGGACGAAGCACAUAGAUGUGAAAUAUCAUUAUGUGAGAGAGAUUAUCGAGAGCGGUGUUGUGUGGUUGAGAAAUAUCGAUACCAAAGAUAAUCCAUCAGAUAUGUUGAUGAAUGUAGUUUCUGGAGUUAAGUUUCAACAUUGCUUGAAAUUAAUUCAAAUCCUUCGAUUGUGUUAAGAUAUGUCCUUCGGGAAUUUUGAAUUACGGUUGGCUUGAUCUCAAAUUUUGGGUACGUAGGCAGUCAUAGAGAUGCAGCCACUUUGGGGAUGAUGGCUCAUUGGUAGUCGGCUCAGAUUUGAAAAAUUUUCACCGAGGUGGAGAUUUGUUGAAGUCAACAAAUUGUUGAAAAAUAAUAAUAAUUAAAAAUUAUAUUUUUAAUUAUUUUAUUCUUAGCAUAGUAAUUCAUUUCUCCUAUAAAUAGCUAAUGAUUUCAUUCAUUUGAAAUCAUCCCAAAAUUGUUAAGCUUAUAAGUUUCUAAGCUUUUGAGAGAAGUGAGAAAAGUGUGUUUGGGGAAUUUAUCUUUCCUGCAGAGUGUGAGAGUACUGGGUAUAUUUGGGUUUCUGGGAAGUGAGAUUCGUUACUCAAAUAUUGUACUCUAUUAAUUGUUAAAUAAACAAUUAUUCUUUCUUGCCUCCGUGGACGUAGGUUUAAUUACCGAACCACGUAAUUCUUGUGUCCUUUAUUUUUCUAUAAUUAUUUGGUACGCUUGAUUCCGCAUUCCGCGCACAACACUCUUUCUGUAUUUCUGAAGACAAAUUAACUGUCAAAGUUAGAGCUAAGGAUCUUGAGACUGAUGAAAUAAUCGAGAUAGUAGGAGAUUUGCUCGUCGGAGCAGAUGGGAUCCUCUCAUCAAUUGGUCAGAGCAUUCUACCUGACUUCAAAUUAAGGUUUGUGCUUGCUUGUGAAUAUCAAUAAAAGUAAUUAAUUUUUGAGUAUUUUGUUUCAUAAAUUUCAAUGUGUUUUUAAUAGGUACACAGGAUACUGUGCGUGGAGAGGUGUUUUUAAUUUUUCAGAAAACGAUUCAGAAACCAUCUUAGGCAUUCGAAAAUCGUAUCCUGAUAUUGGGAAAUGCCUUUACACGAAUAUUGGUUCAGGAUCUCACAUCAUAGUCACUGAACUUAAGAAAGAGAAGUUCAAUUGGGUUUGGUAUGUCAACCAACCUGAGCCCGAGCUCAAGGUAACUGCUUACUUUUGUUUCAUCUUUUUACUUUGUUUACGGGGGUUUGGGUUGAGUGCUAAAAUCUAAUUUUUGCAAACGAUCAACACAGCUCAGACCAUCACUGGAUCCAAUUUUUUUUUUUAAUUUUAAUUUUCCGGUUUAUCAAUGCAGUAUGACCUGACAUUGGGAAACAAAUUAUUUUAUUCUCUUCAGGGAAAUACAACUUCUGUGAAAGUAAGCAGUGACAUGAUCGAGGAGUUGCACCAAAGAGCAGAGCAGGUUUGGUUACCUGAAUUGUCAAGAAUGAUCAAAGAAACAAAGGAUCCUUUCCUUAAUGCUAUAUAUGAUUGCGAUCCUUUGGAGAAAAUCAUCUGGGACAGAGUGGUGCUAACAGGAGAUGCAGCUCACCCGACAACUCCACACUCUGCCAGAAGCACAAACAUGGCGAUAAUAGAUGCAGCAGUGUUAGGAAAAUGCCUCGAGAAGUGGGGGCCGGAUCAUUUAUACUCUGCUCUGGAAGAAUAUCAAUCCAUUAGGAAGCCUGUAACUUCAGCACAAGUUCUACAUUCGCGACGAUUGGGUCAAAUGAAACAAGGGUUAAGUAUUCCUGGAAGGGAGCGGCCUUUUGAUCCAAAGACAGCAAGUCUAGAGGACUGGGAAUUCAUCGUUGACAUAAAUGUGCCUCUUUUCGACGUUGUUCCUCCGAUUCUUGAUUCAAUUUUUCGUUCUGCUUGAUAACUUCAAAGGACACGGCUUGGUCUGUUCAUUAUGCUAACUAUAGCUGCCUAUAAAUAAGAGGGUUGACCACAAUUGUGUGAGUAAAAGAACUGCUAUACUUAUGUUCCUUCCUGUAAUAACGAAAGCCUCUUACUUAAUUCAGUGUCUCUACUUCUUCAGCAAAAUAAAAAUAAAUUCUUGAUCGAAAAA
Molecule: long non-coding RNA, 46835 nt
Filed under: Citrus maxima (pomelo)
Lineage: Eukaryota; Viridiplantae; Streptophyta; Magnoliopsida; Sapindales; Rutaceae
Description: long non-coding RNA (CMAX_LNC001681)
Source: RNAcentral